Molecule: long non-coding RNA, 57976 nt
Filed under: Arabidopsis lyrata
Lineage: Eukaryota; Viridiplantae; Streptophyta; Magnoliopsida; Brassicales; Brassicaceae
Description: long non-coding RNA (ALYR_LNC002363)
Source: RNAcentral
AGCCUUUUAAUUAGAUCUAUAUAACUUUAUAUAUUUCGACUGAAUUAAAUACAUUUUAUAAGGUUAAACAAGCCAUAACCUAUCAGAAUUUUAAUCAAACCAACUAUAGGAACACAAAAGUAUUUCAUCGAGUAAAAAAGAGUAUUUUUUUGAAGUAUCACACUAAACGAAAUCUAUGUCUACUUUCAUUAUUGGAUUACUGAACUUCCAUGAAAUCAUCAUCUACUACAUUGAUGAAGAAAUUGAAAAACACACACUAAAGAAAAAGAGAAAGAAAAAAAGAAAGAAAGAAAGAUUCUUUCAUUAUUGGAUUAUCGAACGUAGACGAAGUCACCAUCAUCUACAUUGAUAUAGAAAGUGAAAAACACACACUGAACAAGAAAGAAAAUUAUAGAAAGAAAGCUGCUUAGUUUUUGAUAAUCCACUUAUUCAAAAGCCUUUUGAUAGUUCUUAAGAACAGCUUUUUCUUCCUCAGGUGUAAAAUCAUUCUCAAUGUUGAAGCGUUGGCGGAUCUGUUUUGGAGUUUCCUCUUUGAUCAUAUCCGCGACAGUUUGGCAUGUUAGGUCAGUAAGGCUUUUGAUGUUUAGGUGAUUCGCAGCCAUAAUGAGAUCAAAGAUCGUGGAUUGAUCGAUUUGCAUGAACUCCGCGUCCCACUUCUUGAGAUCCUCGUCGGUGGAAGGGUUAGCAUCACCGACGUGGUGCUUGUUUAAGUACUCGACCACCAUCGAAAGAAUCUUGCCUGUCACGUUUGGAACCGGGAUUUCUUUAUCGGUGCAAUCGUCGUCAAUCAGAUGAAAUAUGGUCUGGGAUUGGCGUGCAGCCUCUUCUUUGAUCUCAAACGAUUCACCAUCGGAGCUCUUCAACUUGAUUAUCUUCGCCGACAUUGUAUUUUUCCGUUGUGGGGGAGAUUAUUUUUUCUCUGGAAGAAAUUUUAAUGAAAGAUUGAAGAAUUUAGUAAUAAGGUAAUGAAGUUGUGAACCUAUGCGUCUGUCUAUUUAUAAGCCCUAACUUUCAUAGAUGCAUGUAUCGUGUCAAGUAAGUCACGAAAGCAUGAAGUUGUAUGUCUACUCACGUUGAUGUUGUUCUUCCACUAAAGUCUUUUUGUAUGUGUCUUUUUGAUUAAAACCACAACUUUUUCAUGUGUUUACUUGUAAGUUUGUAUGUAAUUCCUUUUUUAUCUAUUGAACUAACCACCGACUCAAAUUUUCAAAUAAACUUUUUCUUUAAAAAUGCACUAUGUUGUUUUAUUCACAUAACGCGUCUUCAAACUUUCUAUAAAUGCAUAUAUAUCACGUCUCACGCAAUUGAUCGUAGUAUUACACGGCAAUGUCUAGAUCACUUAGUUUUCUCUUAAUACCACAAAUGUUCCAAUUAGGAAACUUCAGCACACAGUUUUAUUUGAUCAUCCACUGUUUUUCUACAUAAAGAAGAUCAGGAUUUUUAUCAACUAUAUGAAGUUUUACUUUAUAAUAUAAAUAAAUAAAAUCAAAGAAAAAUAUAAGCAAGUACUUUCUUCAAGCAUUUCUAUAGAACUAUUCCACACUUUGUCGAUGAAUUAAUGACUAAAUAAAGGACAUUUGUUUAUUUCUUUAAGACUUGUGCUAAGUUGCUAAUACAAAAAUUACAAACUUGGAUACUUUCACAUUGGCACUCGCAGUAAUAAUAUAUCUAACUCCAAAGUGUAUAUCAAACUUUAAUUUAGACACAAUAAAAGAAAAAUGAAAAACAAGUUUCAAGUUUCAGCCUAAGAGACACUCGAUCAAUGAUGCUUAAGUCAGGACAACGUAGUAUCUUUCACCUCUCUUUUUUGUUGACAUCAAACACAUCCAAAGAACUGUUCUAUUGACUGCGAGGUGAACACAUUUGGAGCCGUUCGCUCGGGUUUCACCGUAGAGACGUGAAGCUGAUAUUUGAUGAACCUCUGCAAAUAAGAGAGAAUGAGUUAAACUAAAAGCAAAGUAAGAAUGUAAAUGAGGAAAUGAGGAAAGGACUUUACAGCUAGUUGUGUGCUGAUUUCCGGGUUUGUAUCGAUAUGCCAGUCAGGUUCUAGUUGUCUGACAAAGGAAGUUCUUCCUAUCUCUGUACUACAAAAGAGGACCUGCAAUUUCAUACUUACAGAAUUGUAAUUCUUGCACUUUUGUCAAAACAUAGAGAGAAAUAUUGAUAUGUCAUGCUUUGAUAAGACUAUUACAAAGCUAUUUGAGAUAGUUAACGGGUAAAACAUUGUCGAAGAAAGCUUGAUUUGUAUACCUUAUCUUUGACCAAACCACCAGAUGUGAAAACUCCUGCAUUCUCUAAAGCCUGUAGAACUUUGGCCUGCAUAUUUGAGCUCAAAAUGUGAGUUUCAGAAACUACUGAGAAUAAACCCGCUUGGCUCUGUCAACCGGGAUAGAGAUUACAAGAAUGCACAAACGUCUCAAGCAUUUAGUUGCACCAAUGAAUUCAAUCUCUUCCUCUAAUAAUGUAAAGAUAUGUUCUUAAGAAUCCUUCUAAACAAACAUUAUUCAUCGCCCAACUAUUAUCUAUACGAAAAUCCAUGUUAUGACCUACUGCCCGAAUAUUUAAGCUAACCAUGUUUAAAAUAACCACAAUUAAUUUACUGUUCAUGCUAGAGACUAGUUCCAACACAAAGGCCAACAAAAGAACACGAAUGAGUGAGAACAUUGACUAGAACAAGAAGUUGUUACUCACUUCGCUUUCAUCGUCAAGAACUCUUUCCAUGAGAUAUAAAUCACUAUACUUUGUAAUCUCUAGCAGAACUUCCAAAACAGAUGACCUCACUGUUGCUUGUUUCUGCACAAAAUCACUCAUGUCAGUUAGAGACGCAUCACACAUUAUACAAAUGAAAUGACAAAAGAAAAUAUGAUUACUUGGAGUUCUUCUGGACUUGUUUCCUCAAGAAUUACUCCAAGAAGACGGCAUGUUACCUAUAAAUGCAUAUUAGACAACUCAGUAAGGUGCUAAAACUCGUAUAAAAAACAAUUUGUCGAUGAUCUAACAUGGCCAAACACUAUCGGUAGCUCUGAGAAUUUCAAUGCUGAUAUGCAAAUUACCUUCCUUCCUUCACUAAGCUUCUGUCUAACUAUUUGCCCCAAGGUAGGCUGCAAUAAACAGGAAUCUAAAUUAUAUAACAGAACAAAGUGAAUACUGUAACACAAAAUCAAAUAGAGAAAAAGAGUGUUACUUUAACAGGUUGAAAGAACUGAUCAACAACAUCUUGCACCGCAUUAUCCUCACGAGGCGAAGAAAAUUCAGGAAGUACCGAAGCUACAUUCGACUGAGCAGCAGCAGCAGCAGCACUAGACGUUUCAGCAUUGUUAAUCCUACGCUUCGGCUGCCUUCUUUGACGAUGCUCCCCCGGCGUUCUUAUCGCCCUCCACGUAAAAAUCACCGCAAUCGCAAGCCCCGCAAUCGCACCAAUCGAUCUUGAAUCCUAAUCACAACAACGUCAACAACAAAAAACGAAUCAACUACAUAACAAUAACUCAAAAGUUGGAAUCUUUUUAAUCCCAAAUCACUCAAAUUUGAGCUAAAUCAUAACCUUAUGUAACUAAUUUCAUCAAUUUGAAGAAUCACUUCCCUAAUUCACCAAUUAAUCAGUCAAAAUUGGAUUCAAUUCCCAUCAUCGAAAACCAAAAUCUGACCCAGAUCCGAUAUAAAGAGGAGAGAUUGAGAAAAAAAACCAGAUUGCGAAUCGAUGAAGUAGAGAAAAGGCUUGACAUUUUGAAAGCAACAUAAGCGCUUAAACGCUUAAUCAACCGAACGAUCUCUUCAGUAGGCGACGGCGACGGCGAUUCCGCCAUUAAUUUCACCUUUCCUUCAAAGCGAAAUUCAAAUACGUCGUCGUUUUAAUCACGAAAGACUCGAACUUUCAGAUUCUUAGCUUCAGCUUUCGGAUAUUGGCACUGUUCUCGAGCCCUCCCUGGAGAAAAGAGGAAUUGUACUUUUUUUCCAUGGAACACAACUAGGCAAAGUCAAAGUGUUUGGACACGUGUCUUGUUUUACACGUGGCGGUAGAUGAGCAUGUGAGACCAUGGUUUGUAUCGUAGGGUGCGAUGGAUCUGAUUUAUAUGAAACGGUGAGUUUUGUUCUUGUUUAGAGGAAAUUUUACUCGAUGAAGUGGGAGGUAAUUAGAGGAGUAAGAAAGUUAGGAAACUAGAAUUGGUUUGAGGUUUGUUGUUGUUGGACACUUAAGCAAUCAUGGAGUAUCAUUUUACAUGUGAAAAGAAGGAAACAGAGAGAUGAACAUGAAGAACAAAAUAUUAUGUGAAAAAUGUAGGAAAAAAGCUAUUUACUUUAGUUGAAAAUUGCAAACUAUUUAAAUUAUCUGGUUUACAUUGUAAAAUCCUUGUCCUAGUCUAGUAUACAUCGUUUGAGAUCUUGAUUAGUUUUUCUAGCAAAAAUUUGAGAUAAUUUCUGUAAAAAGAGUGAAAAGUUUAGAUAGUCAGUUGAUAAACUUUUUCUGUCAACCAAACGCGUUCAGUUAAAAGAAAUAUAAAAAAACUUGUAUACAUAUCAUUCAUAUAAAGAUGAUAAAGAGGAUGAAGGAGAGAGACUUUCUUGCAUUGGUUGAAUAUCUUUGAGGGAAGAAACGUCGCCGUUUAGUUGCAUCUCUUUUUCGAGGUGAAAGCAAUAGCUCUCAAAAACUCUAAAACUCACUGUAACUCUAAAGUCAAGAAGAAAUAGAAGCUCUAACUCCAUUUUGUUCAGGUCCGCAUUGCUCACGCCUCCUACCCGAGCAUAGAACUCGUUGUUGUAGUGCCUGUGAAUAUGAAAUUAGUUAGUAAAAAAUCUUUCUUAAUUUCAUCUAACACAUGUCGAAAUCUCGAAAUCAAUAACUUAAAGGGGCACUUAACAUACGUAUAGUUACAAAGUUUGUCCUCAUUUUAUAUUGGUUAAAUAUAAAAUAUAAAAUGUAUCUUUCAUUUUGUUAAUCAAUUAAGAUACAACUAUACAUAGUUUUAUAAUUAGUCUAAUUUCACGAUAUAUGAGAAAUUCAUGAAAGGCUUACUUACACGUCGUCUAGUAUCUUGGAAGCAAUCAUGACGCAAGUGACGAGGAGUCUAUGAACAUUCAAGGAGACAACCAAAGAACCAGGAUGCCUAUGAGCCAACCGGUCUAUGUACACAUACCCAACAACGAAACACGCCGGGCUACAUUUUGUGUACUUGUAUAUCCUCUCAAGGUACUUUGCUAUACUUAUGCUUGGUGCUCUGACACCGUGAAAUGCCUCCAAGCUCUUCCCGAAUCCCGUAGUUUGCUUAGCUAACCACUCGUUUCGUGCCACGAGCUUCUCCAUCACAUGGGAGAUUAUAGUCAACACUCUUGGAGUGGCUGCUUCCGUUGGCGGCUCUGGUCCCACGACCGGGUCUAGUUCAUCGUCUCCGGCUACGGUUAACAUGGGUUAUCUUCAAUUCUCACGUUAAUGGGCCAUGUUGUACAGUUCGUUUUGGGUAUAGAUGGCUUGUAGAUUGGGUGGUGGAGAUACGAUGAGCUUAAGAUGUAACGUGGGGAUGUUAUCAUGUUUGGUCUGACUUCCAGCUUAUGAGAUGGAUUGACACGUGGCACCCUGCGAGAAGAUAGGAUUCCGAUGACUUUUGUAUUAAAUUAGAAUUAGUUAUCAAUAUCUUUAUUUAUCAAACAAAUAACUUUAUUUCCACUUAAUACUAGCAUUAUUGUUUUUUUUCCCUUUAAUUACAAAAAGUUUCCGGGUCUUGGUCCAUAAUUUUCUCGUCCGGGACUAGUAUAAUUUCCUUUGAAAAGUCUCACAGUACAAAAAUUUUACUACAUAUUCUUGAUGUUAUCUAUAUAUCAUUUUCUUUGCGUAAGGCAUUUUUAAAUAGUUAGGUUGGUGUGCAAAAAAAAAAAAAAGUUAGGUCUUUGAGGAUUAUUUCAAAAGAUUACUAGUUCAAAUUUUACAAUGUUAUCUUAAUAACAAAUUCUUUACCAAAUAGAUGACAAUUUCUUUUAGGUUAGGAAUCCCAAAUUUUCAGGGCAGCCUGAUCAAAAAGUUAGAAAUGCUAACAACAUAUUUCUAUUCAAGAGUCAACUGCAAAAAAUAUUUCCUAUACGUCUAGAAGAUUGAUUUUCUAGUUAUUUCACAUAUAUCAAAUUGUUUAGUUAUUUGAUAAUUAAUUAUUUUUACUAAACAUUUUUUAAUAAAUUAUUAACUAAUAAUAAUUUUCCUACCAAAAAAAUGAACCAAUAAUAAUUUAAAAGAAUUAAUUUUUUUCAAUUAUUACGUCUUGAAAUCUAAGAUUUAUUAAUAUCCAUUAAGUAUCGACCCGAACCAACGAGUUUUAAGGUUUGCCACAGAGCACAAAAUCUAUGGAGCAAGAAAAAAUCAGAUAGUUUUGACGAGCGAUAUGAAAUCACAAUUACCUGCAUGGCUUCAUAAUAAAUCACGUACGUCACCUGCAUGGCUUCAUAAUAAAUCACGUACGUCAAGGCUCAUAAUAACGCCACGUGGUUUUUCACCGCGUGGACACACGCUUUCGUUAAGUAUAAAAGAGCAACCCUACCUCUCUUUCUUCUACGUGAUUCGCACACCACUGUAAAAGUGUAAAAACUCUUUUUUUGUUCUUCUUCACGUUUCAUUCGAUUUAUAAAAAUAUUUUGUUCUUAGAUUGUAAUCUGUUUUCUUCGUAAUCUUCCAUCAUUGGGUUUUGAGUUUCUCCACAUUUUGCGAAAAAGUUUGUGAAUCGGACUAAUCGAUCUCGGAUCGAUCUCGGUCGUUAUAAGUGAGUGCUUCUUCCUCCGUAUAGAAGCUUUAAAACACGUUACACAUGCAUGUGUUUCUAUUCGAAACGUAAAAUAUUUCGACAUUUUCUAGCAAUUUAAUGUGUUUUACCCAAAACCCUAUCAUGCAUCUAUAUUUUACGAUCUGAAAUUCCAAAAUCAUAAUUUUCCUUCAAUGAUUUGCAUAUGAAAUCUUCGUGCAUCUAUUUUGUGCAGGAUCAUAUCUUUACGUGUGUUUUACUUAUCAAGAAACAACAUAAACGUCAGACUCUUUAAAUUUACAAAUUUAUCUUGUUCAUCAUGCAUUGUCCAAGUAUGGAGCCAAAGUGUGACCACUGUGCAACUUCACAAGCAGUGAUUUACUGCAAAUCCGAUUUGGCUAAACUAUGCCAAAACUGCGACUUCCACGUACACUCUGCGAAUCCUCUAUCUCAUAGACACUCACGCUCUUUGAUCUGCCAGAAAUGCUUCUCACAGCCAGCCGUAAUCCGCUGUCUCGGUGAGAAGGUUUCAUAUUGCCAAAGAUGUCAUUGGCACGCAAGCAACUGCUCGGAUUUAGGACACAGAGUUCAGAGGUUGAACCCUUUCUCUGGUUGUCCUUCUCCAACAGAUUUUGUCAAAAUGUGGUCUUCAAUUCUUGAACCUUCUGUCUCUAGUUUGGUUAGUCCGUUUGUUGGUUCUUUGCCCUUGAAUGAUCCCAAUAAUACCAUGUUUGGAAUGGCGAAAAUCAACGAAUUAGACGGUUUGAUCGGUUCCCCUUAUUCCAUGGUGCCACACAGCUUCAAUGUCACUCAGAAUUUCAGUGAUCAAUUGUCUUUCUUUUCCGUGGAAUCUAAGGUAAUAUAUAGAGGAAUUAAAAGUGUUGCUUAAGUUCUUGAUGAACAAUAUGGUUCUUAUUUGUGUGUGUAUUUCCAGGGAUAUCCUGAUUUGGUUCUUAAACUUGAAGAAGGCGAAGAAGAUUUAUGUGAAGGGCUUAACUUUGACAAUGCGCCGUUAAACUUUGACGUUGGAGAUGAUAUUAUCGGAUGUUCUUUAGAAGAACCCAUAGAACCGGACCAUACAGUACCAAAUUGCCUACUGAUCGACAAGAAUAACACAUCCGUUACCGCCUCAAACUUUACUAUAGACAAGGCUUUUGAGGUCUCUUUCGCUUUUUGUUGUUGUUGUAGUUUCUAGUACCUCAAGAAAAUUUUCUAAUGAAAAUUGUGUUAUUUUGUUUUCAGGCAUCGUCACCAGGACAACAAAUGAACAUCAACACUGGACUUCCGCUUCCUCUAUCACCUGUCUUGUUCGGACAAAUCCAUCCAUCGCUUAACAUCUCCAACGUCACAGGUGAAAGCAAUGCAGCUGAUUACCAGGAUUGUGGGAUGCCUCCAGGGUUUAUAACGAGUGAAGCACCAUGGGAAUCGAAUCUUGAAGUUAGUUGUCCACAAGCAAGUACUCAAGCUAAAUUGAGAUACAUGGAGAAGAAAUUAAGCGCUCGUAAGUUUAUUACUAAUCAUUACAAAACAUAGUUUAUAUUAACUUGGAUCAAGUUUAAUAUUGUGUUUUUUUUUUUUUUUGAAUUAUAGUUUUGGGAAACAGAUUCGAUAUGCAUCGCGCAAAGCAAGAGCUGACACGAGGAAAAGAGUGAAAGGAAGAUUUGUGAAAGCUGGUGACAAUUAUGAUUAUGACCCAUCAUCACCGACGACAAACAAUUGAAAUUUACAAAAAAUAAUGUACAGUCUUCUUUCCCAAACCGACACAAAUCAUGCUUCAUGAUGAUGAUAAGGUUGGUAAAAACAGUUUCUUGUCGGAAAAGUAAUGUAAUCGUUUGUCUUAUUUGUGUAUAGUUUGUAUGGAUCGAAUAAAUCAACAUGCUGAGGCAUGGGAACGUUGGAGAAAACAAAGAUGGUGGAAGCCAAAAUGGUGAAAAUAUCGUAAUUUUGCGCCUUUAUAUUUAUCUUUGUUUUUGAUAUUUUAUAAGUUGGGUUUUUUCCUUUUAUACAAAUAAAUUUCUUAGCUGAUUUUGAUAAAUAAAGUAGCAGUGAGCCAGUGAUUACAAUCUGCUUCAUUCUCUGUAUAAAGGUGGUACAGAGCACGCGUUUAGCAUUGCAUUAAGAAGAUGUUUCACUUGUGAAAAGUCUAGUUAUUAAUUAUUAUAGCUCUUAUGUACCUAAUUAAGGAAAAUGAUAAGUCCAAAGAAGUAGUGAGAAACACAACAACAACAAAAAGAAACCAAAUUGAUGUCAGAAAUAGAAACCCAAAUAAAUGUAUAAUAAAAUUCCAAACAGACAGUCUAUAAUUCUAUAUGCCGCUCUAAUUUAAUCCGGCUUCAGCAUUGAGUUUGGUGAUUUUAUUUUAUUUUAUUUUUUUUACAGCAAUUUUUUAUGGAUUUUGUUUUAUUCUUUUACAGGAAAUUUCUUUUAUGGAUUUUAGUUGUGGUUACAAUCACUGCAUAAUAGAAAAAUUCAAAAAGAUUCGAGGAAUAUACUCCACUCAAUUACAAAGGAUCCUUCUUUCUUUCCUUUCUAUUGCAGAUAUUUUUUGCUAUUUUAGUCAAUACCCAUUUUUUAAAAUUCUAAGCUUCAUAAAAUUAAAUUUCCCAGAUUUUUCUUAAUAGAAAACUGCAUAAAAACCCUAGGCAUAUUUAUAUCUUACACCAAAAAAAAACUAAAAAUCAGAGAAAUACAAACGGAACCUCAUGAUUAUCUUGUUCACUUCUACUCUCCACGGUGGCUUCUCCCACCGUCGUCACCGACGGUAAAACAACGUGGAAGUCAUGAUCUCCGACGAGGCACCGGCGCGUGAGUUUCUGACAAGAAGUGCAUAGCACGCGCCUUACGUGUCUCCAAGCUAGAAAAUUCGCUCCAUGAACCCACCGGUCACAUUUUCUACAGAGAAACGCCGAGUCAGCCUCACAGAACACGGAGGCAUCGCCGCCACAAAGCUCACACCUAACCGGAACACUCGGUCUCGUGCAAAGACUCCGGCAACCAUCACCGUGGCUUCUUCUGCUCUCUUCUUCAUUAAAGAUCAAGCCUCUACACAUUUUUCUAAAUCUUUCUCUCUCUCUUGUUCUUGUGGGUGAUAUUGAGGAAAGAAGAUUUGUUAUAGGAAAAACGUUAUACAUUUAUAUAGGAAAUAGGAAUCUUGUUUCUUUAAAACUAAAUGGAGAUUUUUCUUUUUUGUCAUAAAAUAAUGAUGUGUGUUGUUUUGUUGUUGUACACGUGGAUGAAUCAUGCCCUGUUAUUUUGACGUAAAUGCCCUUAUGAUGGCAAAAUCGUUAAUUUCAAAAUUAAAAACGUUUCUCCUCCAAGCGAUCUCUUGUCCUCAUAUUGGACGCACAACUUUCAAGUUUUCGAAACAAACUCCUAGUACUAGCACGACUUCUUUUGGUUUAUAUCACCCACCACAUCAAAUAUGAAUCAUUAUUGACUGUUGUGGUUUUAUUUUUUUGGGGAUGAUAUGAUGUUAAAUUGUUAAUUGUAUUCUAUUGUAAUGUGAUUACGAUGUACGAUAAAAAACCAAACUAUUAAGAGUUUAAGAUUCAAACAGAUGCACCUAAAGGUACAAAAGUUAACUAAUACAAUCGAUUUCCCAUAAACAUAUAUGAAAGAUUGCGAGUUUAGUUAUAUGAUAAUAAAUUUACAUGAUAGUUAAGUUUCUAGAAUUAAACCAAAAAUGAUUUUAGAAAUAAUAAAAUGGUACAUAAUUACAUAUUAUCUCAUAUGUUUCUUAUGUGAGAUACAUACGAACAACGUCCGACAUCGGAAAAUUAUUAGAAUAAUAACAGUCUAAUAUAUAAUAAAUCAAUUUCUAUUUCAAUUAUUAUGAGAUUUUUUGGGAAGAAACCUAAAAAUAAUCGGUGCGUAUAUUGUGUGUUUAUGUUGCGCAUGAUUUUUACGUGUGUUUUACUUAUCAAAAAACAACAUAAACGUCAGAUUCUUUUCUAUAUAUACACUUUUUUUAAAAUUUACAAAUUUAUCUUGUUCAUUAUGUUUUCAAGUAUGGAGCCAAAGUGUAACUACUAUGCAAUUUCACAAACAGUGAUUUACUGCAAAUCCGAUUUGGCUAAACUAUGCCAAAACUGCGACUUCCACGUAUACUAUGCGAAUCCUCUAUCUCACAGGUACACAUGCUCUUUGAUCUGCCAGAAAUGCUUUUCACAACCAGCCGCAAUCCGCUGCAUCAUGCGUAUUUAGUUAUUGNNNNNNNNNNNNNNNNNNNNNNNNNNNNNNNNNNNNNNNNNNNNNNNNNNNNNNNNNNNNNNNNNNNNNNNNNNNNNNNNNNNNNNNNNNNNNNNNNNNNNNNNNNNNNNNNNNNNNNNNNNNNNNNNNNNNNNNNNNNNNNNNNNNNNNNNNNNNNNNNNNNNNNNNNNNNNNNNNNNNNNNNNNNNNNNNNNNNNNNNNNNNNNNNNNNNNNNNNNNNNNNNNNNNNNNNNNNNNNNNNNNNNNNNNNNNNNNNNNNNNNNNNNNNNNNNNNNNNNNNNNNNNNNNNNNNNNNNNNNNNNNNNNNNNNNNNNNNNNNNNNNNNNNNNNNNNNNNNNNNNNNNNNNNNNNNNNNNNNNNNNNNNNNNNNNNNNNNNNNNNNNNNNNNNNNNNNNNNNNNNNNNNNNNNNNNNNNNNNNNNNNNNNNNNNNNNNNNNNNNNNNNNNNNNNNNNNNNNNNNNNNNNNNNNNNNNNNNNNNNNNNNNNNNNNNNNNNNNNNNNNNNNNNNNNNNNNNNNNNNNNNNNNNNNNNNNNNNNNNNNNNNNNNNNNNNNNNNNNNNNNNNNNNNNNNNNNNNNNNNNNNNNNNNNNNNNNNNNNNNNNNNNNNNNNNNNNNNNNNNNNNNNNNNNNNNNNNNNNNNNNNNNNNNNNNNNNNNNNNNNNNNNNNNNNNNNNNNNNNNNNNNNNNNNNNNNNNNNNNNNNNNNNNNNNNNNNNNNNNNNNNNNNNNNNNNNNNNNNNNNNNNNNNNNNNNNNNNNNNNNNNNNNNNNNNNNNNNNNNNNNNNNNNNNNNNNNNNNNNNNNNNNNNNNNNNNNNNNNNNNNNNNNNNNNNNNNNNNNNNNNNNNNNNNNNNNNNNNNNNNNNNNNNNNNNNNNNNNNNNNNNNNNNNNNNNNNNNNNNNNNNNNNNNNNNNNNNNNNNNNNNNNNNNNNNNNNNNNNNNNNNNNNNNNNNNNNNNNNNNNNNNNNNNNNNNNNNNNNNNNNNNNGUAGUUUGCUUAGCUAACCACUCGUUUCGUGCCACGAGCUUCUCCAUCACAUGGGAGAUUAUAGUCAACACUCUUGGAGUGGCUGCUUCCGUUGGCGGCUCUGCUCCCACGACCGGGUCUAGUUCAUCGUCUCCGGCUACGGUUAACAUGGGUUAUCUUCAAUUCUCACGUUAAUGGGCCAUGUUGUACAGUUCGUUUUGGGUAUAGAUGGCUUGUAGAUUGGGUGGUGGAGAUACGAUGAGCUUAAGAUGUAACGUGGGGAUGUUAUCAUGUUUGGUCUGACUUCCAGCUUAUGAGAUGGAUUGACACGUGGCACUCUGCGAGAAGAUAGGAUUCCGAUGACUUUUGUAUUAAAUUAGAAUUAGUUAUCAAUAUCUUUAUUUAUCAAACAAAUAACUUUAUUUCCACUUAAUACUAGCAUUAUUGUUUUUUUUCCCUUUAAUUACAAAAAGUUUCCGGGUCUUGGUCCAUAAUUUUCUCGUCCGGGACUAGUAUAAUUUCCUUUGAAAAGUCUCACAGUACACAAAUUUUACUACAUAUUCUUGAUGUAAAUACUAAAUAUAGUAUACGCGUUGAUAGAUAUAAACUAAUGUUAGAUACUUAAAUAUUUGAAAGAACUCAAGAAGGCAUACGCGUUGCCGUUCAGUCAUACAUGUCAAAUAAGGAGAGUUCAUUGUAUUAUAAUGAUUCGUGGCCAUUUUUUUUUCAAUCUCUGUGUUUUUUAGUUCAUUUAUCUUUGUUUACAUUAAAAAUGAUCAUGUUUCGUACUUUUAUAUCAAUCAAAUCUAUAUAUCAUUUUCUUUGCGUAAGGCAUUUUUAAAUAGUUAGGUUGGUGUGCAAAAAAAAAAAAAAAAGUUAGGUCUUUGAGGAUUAUUUCAAAAGCUUACUAGUUCAAAUUUUACAAUGUUAUCUUAAUAACAAAUUCUUUACCAAAUAGAUGACAAUUUCUUUUAGGUUAGGAAUCCCAAAUUUUCAGGGCAGCCUGAUCAAAAAGUUAGAAAUGCUAACAACAUAUUUCUAUUCAAGAGUCAACUGCAAAAAAUAUUUCCUAUACGUCUAGAAGAUUGAUUUUCUAGUUAUUUCACAUAUAUCAAAUUGUUUAGUUAUUUGAUAAUUAAUUAUUUUUACUAAACAUUUUUUAAUAUACUAUGAACCAAUAAUAAUUUUCCUACCAAAAAAAAAUGAACCAAUAAUAAUUUGAAAGAAUUAAUUUUUUUCAAUUAUUACGUCUUGAAAUCUAAGAUUUAUUAAUAUCCAUUAAGUAUCGACCCGAACCAACGAGUUUUAAGGUUUGCCACAGAGCACAAAAUCUAUGGAGCAAGAAAAAAUCAGAUAGUUUUGACGAGCGAUAUGAAAUCACAAUUACCUGCAUGGCUNNNNNNNNNNNNNNNNNNNNNNNNNNNNNNNNNNNNNNNNNNNNNNNNNNNNNNNNNNNNNNNNNNNNNNNNNNNNNNNNNNNNNNNNNNNNNNNNNNNNNNNNNNNNNNNNNNNNNNNNNNNNNNNNNNNNNNNNNNNNNNNNNNNNNNNNNNNNUUCUUCCUCCGUAUAGAAGCUUUUAAAAAACAUGCAUGUGUUUCUAUUCGAAACGUAAAAUAUUUCGACAUUUUCUAGCAAUUUAAUGUGUUUUACCCAAAACCCUAUCAUGCAUCUAUAUUUUACGAUCUGAAAUUCCAAAAUCAUAAUUUUCCUUCAAUGAUUUGCAUAUGAAAUCUUCGUGCAUCUAUUUUGUGCAGGAUCAUAUCUUUACGUGUGUUUUACUUAUCAAGAAACAACAUAAACGUCAGACUCUUUAAAUUUACAAAUUUAUCUUGUUCAUCAUGUGUCCAAGUAUGGAGCCAAAGUGUGACCACUGUGCAACUUCACAAGCAGUGAUUUACUGCAAAUCCGAUUUGGCUAAACUAUGCCAAAACUGCGACUUCCACGUACACUCUGCGAAUCCUCUAUCUCAUAGACACUCACGCUCUUUGAUCUGCCAGAAAUGCUUCUCACAGCCAGCCGUAAUCCGCUGUCUCGGUGAGAAGGUUUCAUAUUGCCAAAGAUGUCAUUGGCACGCAAGCAACUGCUCGGAUUUAGGACACAGAGUUCAGAGGUUGAACCCUUUCUCUGGUUGUCCUUCUCCAACAGAUUUUGUCAAAAUGUGGUCUUCAAUUCUUGAACCUUCUGUCUCUAGUUUGGUUAGUCCGUUUGUUGGUUCUUUGCCCUUGAAUGAUCCCAAUAAUACCAUGUUUGGAAUGGCGAAAAUCAACGAAUUAGACGGUUUGAUCGGUUCCCCUUAUUCCAUGGUGCCACACAGCUUCAAUGUCACUCAGAAUUUCAGUGAUCAAUUGUCUUUCUUUUCCGUGGAAUCUAAGGUAAUAUAUAGAGGAAUUAAAAGUGUUGCUUAAGUUCUUGAUGAACAAUAUGGUUCUUAUUUGUGUGUGUAUUUCCAGGGAUAUCCUGAUUUGGUUCUUAAACUUGAAGAAGGCGAAGAAGAUUUAUGUGAAGGGCUUAACUUUGACAAUGCGCCGUUAAACUUUGACGUUGGAGAUGAUAUUAUCGGAUGUUCUUUAGAAGAACCCAUAGAACCGGACCAUACAGUACCAAAUUGCCUACUGAUCGACAAGAAUAACACAUCCGUUACCGCCUCAAACUUUACUAUAGACAACACAUCCGUUACCGCCUCAAACUUUACUAUAGACCAGGUUUCUAGUACCUGAAGAAAUUUUCUAAUGAAAAUUGUGUUAUUUUGUUUUCAGGCAUCGUCACCAGGACAACAAAUGAACAUCAACACUGGACUUCCGCUUCCUCUAUCACCUGUCUUGUUCGGACAAAUCCAUCCAUCGCUUAACAUCUCCAACGUCACAGGUGAAAGCAAUGCAGCUGAUUACCAGGAUUGUGGGAUGCCUCCAGGGUUUAUAACGAGUGAAGCACCAUGGGAAUCGAAUCUUGAAGUUAGUUGUCCACAAGCAAGAACCCAAGCUAAGUUGAGAUACAUGGAGAAGAAAUUAAAGCGCUCGUAAGUUUAUUACUAAUCAUUACAAAACAUAGUUUAUAUUAACUUGGAUCAAGUUUAAUAUUGUGUUUUUUUUUUUUUGAAUUAUAGUUUUGGGAAACAGAUUCGAUAUGCAUCGCGCAAAGCAAGAGCUGACACGAGGAAAAGAGUGAAAGGAAGAUUUGUGAAAGCUGGUGACAAUUAUGAUUAUGACCCAUCAUCACCGACGACAAACAAUUGAAAUUUACAAAAAUAAUGUACAGUCUUCUUUCCCAAACCGACACAAAUCAUGCUUCAUGAUGAUGAUAAGGUUGGUAAAAACAGUUUCUUGUCGGAAAAGUAAUGUAAUGGUUUGUCUUAUUUGUGUAUAGUUUGUAUGGAUCGAAUAAAUCAACAUGCUGAGGCAUGGGAACGUUGGAGAAAACAAAGAUGGUGGAAGCCAAAAUGGUGAAAAUAUCGUAAUUUUGCGCCUUUAUAUUUAUCUUUGUUUUUGAUAUUUUAUAAGUUGGGUUUUUUCCUUUUAUACAAAUAAAUUUCUUAGCUGUUUUUGAUAAAUAAAGUAGCAGUGAUUACAAUCUGCUUCAUUCUCUGUAUAAAGGUGGUACAGAGCACGCGUUUAGCAUUGCAUUAAGAAGAUGUUUCACUUGUGAAAAGUCUAGUUAUUAAUUAUUAUAGCUCUUAGAGCAACAACAAUGGGAGAACCUUAAAGGUUCUACCAAUAGUUUCUUGUAAUAUAAGCCCCAAAAAUAAAUCCAAACAUAAAUAAAAGCCAAGGUACGUUCCUAAUUUAAGGUUUUUUUGUUGCUGCAAGAGGUGCUACGUGGCAUCAUUUUAUUGGCAAGAAUUGUGAGAUAAACAAAAACAAUUGUUCUUUCGCGUUUCAGUUCUCUCUCUUCUCGACCCUCUCUCUCUUCUUUUUGUUUUCUCCGACGGCGAAACUCACCAAAUCUUCAAUUCCGGCGAUUUUGAUUAUCAAAUCGGAAGUAAAUGGCGAAGCCUUUGUACACAGUAAGCCGUGAUACUCAUUUCCACCGUCGGCGUGGUCACCAACAGUAGUUCGUUGACCUAAUCAAUAGGUUCUGAAAAUUAAAUCGGAGAGAAAGGCGAUUCUAGUGGCUCCAAACGCUUCCUCACGGUACGAAUCUCUCUGUAUAUUUUUUAUUGUAUGAUUUGAUUAGGGUUAUUUAGAUGUUAACAAAAUUAGGGUUUGUGAUAUGAGAUUUGUUUUGCUAGAAAUUAGGGUUUUUGAUUGGUAAACGCAAUUUUGGGUUUUUGAAUAGAUAAUGAGUCUCUUAAUCUGUUAAUUUGGGUUAUUGAAUACAUAAUCUGAGAUUAAAGUUUUGUAUUUGAUCUUGAUUCGUGUAAAAAAAUCUGCUGAUCCACCAAAGUUAGUGAUUUGUGCCUUUUCUUUGAUUUAUGACCUUUGACUGUGUGGUUUCUGUUGCAGGAAUUGAAGUUUGUGUUUCCUAACUCUCAGAGAAUAAAUCGUGGUGGUCAGGUAUGUGUGUUGUUCUGGCUUCUGUACUAUAAUCCAUUUCGAAGUAAUUUAAAACUUGAUUUCAAACUCUAUUAAACAUUGUCUUUGUGUUUGUGUUUGUGUUUCCUAAUGUAAUUUAAAAAGUAGUUGAGUCUGUCCAACAAUGCAGAAUCUAGAUUUAAAACUUGACUAAUAUAAACCAUCAUUUGAUAAAUGAAUCAAGAAUCUAGAGUUCAGUUUUUAAAUGAAUGCAUUGUGAUAAAUGAUUAUGACUUGUUGUAGGUUAAAGUCUGAGGAGUCUAAAUCAUAGUUAUUAGUAUGUCAUUGAUUGCUUCUCUUUGAUUGCAUCUCUUCGAUUGAUUGCUCUCUGUGAUUAGAUUAGGUUAGAUAUGAUCAUUAUCAUAGUUAUGAUCUCUGUUAAAAUAGGUUAAAGUCUCUGUUAUCUUGCAUGGUUGAGAGUAGGUUAAAGUGUAUGUCAUUCAUUGCUUAAAGUUAACAGCUAACCAUCACUUCAACUUAAGACUGAAGCUUUUUUAAUAGCUUCAACUCUAGUUAAUUCAAACCUAACCAUAUUCACUCCUCUUUAACAUCCGCAACUCUAUUAAACAUUGAACCAUAAUCCUCUUUUCUUCAUUGUCUUCUUAAAGCAAAAACCACAGCUCUUAUCUUCUCCUUUUAACACAAACCAGAAACAUUUUGAUAUGGAUUCAAGGAAUCCAUAUACCAAUCCUUCAAGCUUUUUAAACCUCUUAAGUUCUCAACAAGAUAACCCCAUGCCUCCACCAAAUCAGUAUGCUGGUUUUUCAUUUAGUGCACCUUGGAUUGACCCAAAUCAAGCUCCAACGCCUGCUGAAGAGCCUGUUGCAGACCGCAAAUCAAGACGUAAAUGGUCACCAACAGAAGAUGUGAUUCUCAUUAGUGCCUGGCUCAACACCUCCAAGGAUGCUGUUGUCUCCAAUGAGCAAAAAGCCACAGCUUUCUGGCAACGCAUUGCAGACUACUUUGCAGCAAGUCCCAAGCUGAGAGGUCUGCAAAAGAGAGCUCCAUUAUGCUGUAAACAAAGGUGGGCAAAGAUAAAUGAGGGAGUCUGUAAGUUUGUAGGAAGCUAUGAGGCUGCAACCAAACAGCAGACCAGUGGCCAGAAUGAGAAUGAUGUGGUGAACUUGGCUCACCAGAUCUUCUACAAUGAUCACAAGGCGAAGUUCACACUUGAGCAUGCUUGGAGGGAGCUUCGCCAUGAUCAGAAGUGGUGCGGAUCAUCAACAAGUAAAGACAGUGGGUCAGCAAAGAGGAAGAGGUUUGAGGACGGCUCUGCACAGGCCUCAUGCUCUAUGCCAGUCAACAUUGACGAGGAAGAGCCUCGUCCCACUGGUGUUAAGGCAGCCAAAGCCACAGCCAAAGCCAAAGCCAAGACAACAAGUCAAAUUGGAGAUGAAGACAAGACUCUGAAGGAGUUACAUUGUAUCUGGGAGAUUAAGGAGAAAGAUUUAGUUUUCAAAGAGAAGCUAAUCAAUGUUAAGGAGAAGCUUAGUAGGACUAAACUGCUAGACACUUUGAUGCUAAAAACAGAGCCUCUAACUAACAUAGAGAUGACUCUUAAGAACAAGCUCAUAAUGGAUUUGUUGUCCUAAGCUUAAGUUUGUUUUUAUGUUCUAUUUAAGCGAAGUAUGUUUUAAUUAUCUGUUUUAAGUUUAACUAUGUCUUUAGUUUAUGUUUGAAGUAUGUCUGAAUGUGUUUUGCUAUUAAUGAAAUGAUUUCUGUUUAAGCUAAGUAUGCUUGUCUUCAACUGAAACUAAACUAACUUGAAUGUUAGAUGUGUUUGGUCUGAUGACUUCUCUUAUUAACAAUUAUGCAGGUGAGCCGAGUAAGAGACACAUGUGACACCAAUGCUUUUGUGAUUUAGUGCCGACUUCACUUGUAAUAGACAAUAGUGAGACAGAGUUGUUUUGUGUUUUUGUGUCGACAUCUCUUCUACACAUGACACUAGUAUUUUGUAUUUUUGUGCCGACAAUAUUCAGACUUGUAAUUUAGUUUGUUUGAUACUUUUAUUUUCAAAUUAUGUUUCUUUAGUUUCUCUUCAUAUUUAAACCGAACACUCCUCUUCUUCUUUCCCAAAACAAUCUUAUUCUUCUUCUUCUUCUUCUCCAAAACAACAUAUCUCUUUUCUCCAAAACACUAUUUCUCUAUAAAACAAUCGUUUGGGGAAAACAAUCUUAAUCUUCUCCUUCUUCAAAACACCAUCACCAAUUCUUAUUCUUCUUCUUCUUCUUCUACAAAACACUAUCUUUUUUACUACGAUUCUUUUUUAGAAAAAUGGGAUCUUCUUCAAAUUAUAAUCUCAACGAAAUGUUGAACGAUAAAUUUGAUCAAUAUAUCGACGAAACAUUAGAGAAUUAUGGUGAUCGUCAACAACAACAAGUCAAGAAAAAAAAAAAACGAGCAUAUAUUGAAAGAGAGCGUGAACAAGGUCACAUCCAGUUAUGGAACGACUAUUUCUCUGAAGAUGCAACAUUCCCUCCGCAUAUAUUUCGACGCCGUUUCAGAAUGAACAAGCACUUGUUCAUGCGUAUUGUUGAUCGACUCUCCAAUGAAGUUCCAUUCUUUGAACAAAAAAGAGAUGCUACCGGAAGGCUCGGUUUCUCGGCACUACAGAAGGCUACAGCAGCAAUUCGUAUGUUGGCAUAUGGUCAUGCGGCUGAUGCGGUUGACGAAUAUCUACGAAUUGGUGAAAGUACUUCGAUGUCAUGUUUACACCAUUUUGUUGAUGGAAUCAUCUAUUUGUUCGGAGAUGAGUACUUAAGAAGACCCACACGAGAAGAUCUUAUACGACUACUCCAUAUUGGAGCGGGACGUGGAUUUCCCGGGAUGAUAGGAAGCAUAGAUUGUAUGCAUUGGGAGUGGAAGAAUUGCCCCACAGCUUGGAAAGGGCAAUAUACACGUGGAUCCGGCAAACCAACAAUCGUUUUAGAGGCUGUUGCUUCCCAAGAUCUUUGGAUAUGGCACGCGUUUUUUGGACCUCCAGGUACCUUAAACGAUAUAAAUAUUCUUGAUCGAUCACCAGUUUUUGAUGAUAUAUUACAAGGUAAAGCUCCGAAAGUGAAAUACGUAGUCAACGGGAACGACUAUCAUUUGGCUUACUAUCUCACAGAUGGCAUUUAUCCUAAAUGGGCUACAUUUAUCCAAUCUAUUUCUAUUCCACAAGGUCAAAAAGCUUCUUUAUUUGCUACAAAUCAAGAGGCUUGCCGCAAAGAUGUUGAACGUGCUUUUGGAGUUUUGCAAGCUCGAUUUGCCAUUGUAAAAAAUCCGGCUCUUAUUUGGGAUAAGGUAAAAAUAGCAAAGAUUAUGCGAGCAUGUAUAAUUCUUCAUAAUAUGAUAGUAGAGGAUGAACGAGAUGGGUACACUCAGUUUGAUGUCACCGAAUUCCAACACCCGGAAUCAACCACAUCUUCACAAGUGGAUUUCACAUACUCUACAGAAAUGCCUUCAAAUCUGGGUAAUAUGAUGGCCACUCGAUCCGAAAUACGAGAUCGGACUAAACAUGAACAACUGAAAGCUGAUUUGGUUGAGCAUAUUUGGCGACAAUUUGGCAUAAACUAAGCUAACGACUACUCGUUAUUCCGUUUUUUUUUUUGUAUUUUUUUUUUUUUGCUUUUAUGCUUUCUAUGUUUAAAAUUCUUAGGAAUUUGUAAUAUUUAUUAAGUUUUAUCAUAUAAAAAUGUUUAUAAUUUUUCAUUUUAAAAAAAAUAUAUUUUUUUUAAGAAACCUAGUUAAGGACUCACCAUUGGACAAAGAAAAUUUUAAGGAUUCAUCAAAAUUUCUUAACUUAAAAAUUGUUGUAAAGUAAGAUUAAAAUAUGUUUAAGGAUCCUUUUAAGGACUCAUUCAUUAGGGUUGCUCUUAUCUACCUAAUUAAGGAAAAUGAUAAGUCCAAAGAAGUAGUGAGAAACACAACAACAACAAAAAGAAACCAAAUUGAUGUCAGAAAUAGAAACCCAAAUAAAUGUAUAAUAAAAUUCCAAACAGACAGUCUAUAAUUCUAUAUGCCGCUCUAAUUUAAUCCGGCUUCAGCAUUGAGUUUGGUGAUUUUAUUUUAUUUUAUUUUAUUUACAGCAAUUUUUUGAUGGAUUUUGUUUUAUUCUUUUACAGGAAAUUUCUUUUAUGGAUUUUAGUUGUGGUUACAAUCACUGCAUAAUAGAAAAAUUCAAAAAGAUUCGAGGAAUAUACUCCACUCAAUUACAAAGGAUCCUUCUUUCUUUCCUUUCUAUUGCAGAUAUUUUUUGCUAUUUUAGUCAAUACCCAUUUUUUAAAAUUCUAAGCUUCAUAAAAUUAAAUUUCCCAGAUUUUUCUUAAUAGAAAAUUGCAUAAAAACCCUAGGCAUAUUUAUAUCUUACACCAAAAAAAAACUAAAAAUCAGAGAAAUACAAACGGAACCUCAUGAUUAUCUUGUUCACUUCUACUCUCCACGGUGGCUUCUCCCACCGUCGUCACCGACGGUAAAACAACGUGGAAGUCAUGAUCUCCGACGAGGCACCGGCGCGUGAGUUUCUGACAAGAAGUGCAUAGCACGCGCCUUACGUGUCUCCAAGCUAGAAAAUUCGCUCCAUGAACCCACCGGUCACAUUUUCUACAGAGAAACGCCGAGUCAGCCUCACAGAACACGGAGGCAUCGCCGCCACAAAGCUCACACCUAACCGGAACACUCGGUCUCGUGCAAAGACUCCGGCAACCAUCACCGUGGCUUCUUCUGCUCUCUUCUUCAUUAAAGAUCAAGCCUCUACACAUUUUUCUAAAUCUUUCUCUCUCUCUUCUUCUUGUGAGUGAUAUUGAGGAAAGAAGAUUUGUUAUAGGAAAAACGUUAUACAUUUAUAUAGGAAUCUUGUUUCUUUAAAACUAAAUGGAGAUUUUUAUUUUUUGUCAUAAAAUAAUGAUGUGUGUUGUUUUGUUGUUGUACACGUGGAUGAAUCAUGCCCUGUUAUUUUGACGUAAAUGCCCUUAUGAUGGCAAAAUCGUUAAUUUCAAAAUUAAAAACGUUUCUCCUCCAAGCGAUCUCUUGUCCUCAUAUUGGACGCACAACUUUCAAGUUUUCGAAACAAACUCCUAGUACUAGUACGACUUCUUUUGGUUUAUAUCACCCACCACAUCAAAUAUGAAUCAUUAUUGACUGUUGUGGUUUUAUUUUUUUGGGGGAUGAUAUGAUGUUAAAUUGUUAAUUGUAUUCUAUUGUAAUGUGAUUACGAUGUACGAUAAAAAACCAAACUAUUAAGAGUUUAAGAUUCAAACAGAUGCACCUAAAGGUACAAAAGUUAACUAAUACAAUCGAUUUCCCAUAAACAUAUAUGAAAGAUUGCGAGUUUAGUUAUAUGAUAGUAAAUUUACAUGAUAGUUAAGUUUCUAGAAUUAAACCAAAAAUGAUUUUAGAAAUAAUAAAAUGGUACAUAAUUACAUAUUAUCUCAUAUGUUUCUUAUGUGAGAUACAUACGAACAACGUCCGACAUCGGAAAAUUAUUAGAAUAAUAACAGUCUAAUAUAUAAUAAAUCAAUUUCUAUUUCAAUUAUUAUGAGAUUUUUUGGGAAGAAACCUAAAAAUAAUCGGUGCGUAUAUUGUGUGUUUAUGUUGCGCAGGAUCUUUACGUGUGUUUUACUUAUCAAAAAACAACAUAAACGUCAGAUUCUUUUCUAUAUAUACACUUUUCUUUAAAUUUACAAAUUUAUCUUGUUCAUUAUGUUUUCAAGUAUGGAGCCAAAGUGUAACUACUGUGCAACUUCACAAACAGUGAUUUACUGCAAAUCCGAUUUGGCUAAACUAUGCCAAAACUGCGACUUCCACGUAUACUAUGCGAAUCCUCUAUCUCACAGGUACACAUGCUCUUUGAUCUGCCAGAAAUGCUUUUCACAACCAGCCGCAAUCCGCUGCAUCAUGCGUAUUUAGUUAUUGGUCUAAAACGGACAAUAUAUAUCAUACUAAUGAGAAAACUAGAUUGAUUUUGGAAAGACCAACAAUAUUUAAGAUUUUGUUCUAUUGAAUUUUGUGACAAUUUUGUAAACAAAAAAAAUUAAGGAUUGUUUAGAAAUAAAAGAUACUACAAGUGAUUAGUGGAGGAUAUAUAGGGGGUACGCAUAAAUAACGGCUAAAAUUUAGGGUGAUAUCAAAUAUCGUUUUUAUUGGUCGUCUUUGGGACAUUGUGUGGUGGUUAAUCAGUCAACUCUUAAUUAAUUAUAUAAGCUUACUAGCAGAAGAAUCAAAGAGGACUUCUUGUAUGGUUCACAUUUAAAGAUUUAAAUUUGGGUUGAUUUAUCAGUCAUUUAUUUGUUUUUUAUUAGUGAAAGCUACCCCAUUAAUUAAGUUAAUUUAAAAGGUUUGAUAAUUAGAAAUGCUAUAUACAUUGCGUGUGAUUGCUUACUAGUACGAAUAUAAGUAACCGAGAAGCAUUUUAACAUCACAAUAAUAUUCGAAUUAUUAGUUAACAUCACAUUAUUCGUAAACAGUGUUUGUAAUAUAUUCGCCAGAUCCUCUUACUAAAUUAAUUUAUUAAUCUGUUUUGAAAUCAACUUAAUAUUUAAGAUAAUUACAUACUACAAUUCUUAAAACAUAUGAUAAUACCUAAUCCAAUAGGACGAAAUGAAAUAAUUAUUUGAAGCCUAUUCGUUUGAAUACUUAAGUUUCUUACUUUCUUUUGGCAAAGUAGACAGUUAAACCCAUAUUUAUGUUAGUAAAAUAUAUUCUUGAAUCCCUUUAACCAAAAGUAUAAGAUUAGAUCGUUUAAAAUAUAAGCAACACAUCAUAUAUGUCGCCAUCGUUUACACAUGUAAUGAUCGGAGUCAUACAUUUCGUUAACUCAAAUUCUAUAAACUUGUACAAAAAUUGCGUGAACAUAAUGAUAAUUAUAAUGUAUAUAUAAUAUUCACAAAUAUCGCGAAUGAUAUUAAUUAAUGUUAUUUAGAUUCUUCCACUGCAUAUGUUUAAUAUUGAAGAUUAAUCGGACCAAAUAAAAACUUUGGCAUCAUUAUGUAAUGUAAUUUGAGUAGGCAUUUUUCAUGCUGGUUCAAUUCUGAAUCAAAGAGACGUUUCAAAGAUUUUUUAAGUGGUAAAGGGCUCACGGCUGUGAGUUCCCCCUCCUGGGUUCGAUUCGGGUUGGCCACCUAGCCGCUCCCUUAACGAUGGGAUAAAGCGUACCCGGAUGCAAGGCCUCGUAGAUUAGUCUUUGGGCCUAGAAAACCUUUGGGAUGACCACGGUUAUAAAAAAAAAAUAAAAAUAAAGAAAUAUCAAAAGCUCCAGAAAAGAAAGACUUUUAUAAAAAAAAGCACAAGAGAGUAUUAAUACAUAAGAAUAUAUUAGACUCUUUCAUGUCUAUCUUUUAUUAAAGAAAAUUAUAUCUCAUAUCUAAGAUCACGCUACCAAAUUAAACAAAAGAUCUUAUAUUUAUAUAUAUAAAAAAAAAAUUUAGGCAAAAGAUACGAUAUUCAUCUACAAAAUUUAAAAUAACGUGAUAAAAAAUACGAAGAGUUAUUAGACGGACUGAAACAAUAAUGUGACGAAGAACAUUAUUAUAUUUGAUACGUUAUGGGGAAAAAAAAGAAGAGAUGUUGUUGUCCACAAGUUGAUUCAGUGUUGAUGCGUAAGUCCACUUGUGUGGAUCAUAUUGAUUCAAAAUCCAAAAGCUUUUAUAUUUUCUAAUUUUGUCCUCAGAUUUUUCUGUCUGUUCUUUAUUGUUGCCUGUUGGUACGAUCGAGACCUUAGCCGUCCAAUCUUCCAAAAAGUAUGUGACCAUUAUUUUUUUUGCCAAUUUAUUAUUCAGAUUUUAUUUUUUAAAAUAUAGUAUGUCGGACAUAUUAUCACAUUUACGCAUGUAUAGGCGUAACUAGUCAUGGGCGUUCGGUUUAGUCGGGUUAUUCGAGUCGGGUUAUUCGGUUUGGGGAAAAUUCGGUUUUUAAAAAAUUCCACCGAAUUGGUUUCAAUUUCGGUUUACUUGUUAAAAAAAAGACAUUUGCAGUUGCACUAUUACAAAUCCAAUUAAAAAAACCAUUACAAAUUAGAUAAAAAGCCCAAUAUACAUUUAACAAAAACCCAACAUACAGUUUAUAGCCCAACCCAAUAAAAUAUUAGGGUUUUGACAAAAAUAAGUGUGGCUGCAUGAUCGACUGUGCGCGGCGGUCUCAGCGACGGUAAGCUCCGACUGUCUUAUUCUAGCUUUAAUCGAGGUUGUGUUGAACGAGGAUGAGUCUGUCUCUCGCAAUAUCACUGAAACAAGAAAGAAAACAACUAAAAUCAGUCGAAAUAAUCACGAAGUCUCGGAUCUAGAAAUCGAAAAAACGAGACUUACGAAAACAAUCAACUAACACCAAUACUUAGAUCCGAAAACGAACCUUAUGUCAGUAAGUUCAUCGACGGCGGAUUGGUUGAGGGAAAUUCUUGGUAGUAGUUAUCGUUGUUGAGUGCCUAUCAAAACUUAUGAUUUAGAAGAAACAAAGAGAAGAUGAGGAGAAAGACGAAAACGAAGAAGAUCAAGAUGCAGAAGAGUAUAUAGAAAAGAAGGAAGGAGAAGAAGAAAGAAGAACAAGAUCGUAAAAGGAGAGAGGAGAGUGGAAGGAGGCUCGCCAAAGAGAUUAGAUAGUAUUGAUGAAAUGAAUUAGGUUAGGGUUUUUAGUUUUUAUAUCUUGUUCCCCUAAACCAAAUAAACCGAUCGGUAACCGAUUACCGAACCGAGUAACCCGAAUUCCGAAAUCCCAAAAUAAUCUUACUGAUCGGUUUACUUCCCUUCUAAAAUUUGGUGCCGCAAACCGAAUAUCUCGGUUUGAUCGGUUCGGUUUGAUCGGAACUGACCGAACGCCCAGGCCUACGCGUAACUAUAACCCUGGCUAGCUUAUAAAAUAUUUUGAUCGAAGUUGAAGAAACUUACUUGGACGGUGAUAUCAUGAAUAUGAUGUCUUAUGAGUUAUGUCUAAAGCAAUUUGUUGGAGUCUAGACCAUUUGUGUUCGUAAAACUGUUUUCCAAGAAAAUGGAAAACCAUAAGCCAUAUUAUAGCAUGUAAUGUAACAAACUGUUUAUCAUAAAAGUAUAGAGUUUGAGUAUGUUGUUAAAUGUUAUAAGUCCCUUGUAAUAACUUAUUUGACAUUAACAAAAAUCUUAUGUUUUUCACUCUAUUCCAACUUCUCCAAACAUAUAUGUUCAUAAGCGAUUUAAACCACUGAAUUACUUCUAUCGAUUAGAUAAAGCUUAGAGCAAAAGAUGCAACAAGUGUAUGACGUUAAUGGCUUAAUACCUAUGCACCCACCCUACCUAAACUGUUGUUAGAACACUAGUUUUUAUUUUUUUCUUGGUUAUGUUUUUUACUCAAACUUACCUUUAAUUUGAAAGUUUUAAUUCUUGGAUAGUUUCGCUUUAAGGGUAUUCCAUCCGAAUAAAUCGAUCUGAUUCAAACCGAAAUACUCAAUCAGAAAACGUUCUAGUAGUUUCAUUUUUUUCUAUAUCCAAGGAACCGAAUCUAGAUCGUACCAGUAAAAAAUCGAUUUAGAACCGAAGUUUCUUUGUAAGUUAAGAAUAUAUUUGACUAAAACCAAGUUUCUUACCAAACCAUCCAUUUUAGUUUACAUGUUUAUUUUGAAACCAUUAUUCAUAAACCGAAGAUCUAGAAAACCGAACCGGAUUGGAAAAGCUCAACAGCCUCAACUUAAAGAACGAAUCUCGGUGCAGUCGGUCAAGUUAGUUGGGCUUUUCAAAGGUAAUUAAUAAAUCCAGGCUUAAUUAAUUAGUCUCAGUAGGUCCAAAUAAAUAAAUAACGUAACAUAAAAAAACUCAAUUACUGGAGCCCAUAUUUUAAGCCCAUUAACAAAAAAAAACCCACCAAAACCGACCUUUUGAAUAAACUUACCAGUCCGACGCAGCCAGCUCGGCCGGUGUCUGACGACUGACACUUUUCCACUAAAAGAAUCUCCCGAGAAACCUAACCGUUGACUCAGCCGAGAAACUAAGGCCAACAAAAAAUGAACCACACGAGUCGUAAGAGACGACCCGAUCUUUCUCUCUCCAGAACCGAUUAUCUCUCCUCUGAAAUGUUAGCUCCGACGAAAUCUCCGGCGCUAAAUCGAAUUCGAAUCCGAAACCUCUUCUUGCUUCUACUCUUCGUUUACGUCGUCAUCCUCCUCCUCUUCUCCUUCAGUCCUCUCCGCCGCGCGCAGUUUCCUUCACUCGCACGAUCAUUAGCUAUAUCUCCCACGCGCCGCCGUCACUUACUCUUCUCCAUAGCUUCCUCACACGAUUCUUGGCUCCGUCGUAGCUCCUAUGUUUGUCUCUGGUACUCUCCUAAAUCUACUCGAGCUUUUGUAUUCCUCGAUCGAGGUGGAUUUGAGUCUGAUCUCAGAAACUGGGUUUCAUCAGGUAAACAAAGUUUGAGCUCAUCAGAAACAUGAAUUGUUUCAAAAUUUAGAUUUCUUAGAAUCGAAAAGUAGUGUCAUUAGUUUAGCUCGAAGAAUGAAGCUGUAGAUUAAUUAGUGUUUGUUGUUUGAGUAGGACUACUGAAAAUAAUGAUUGCUAGUUAGCUUAGGCAUGACUUAACCAUCUUCGAAGUUAGACGUUAGAUGAAACUGAAAGUUGGAAAUUGGAAUCUUAAAUAUGUAAUUAUAGAAAGAGAAAAUUUACUAGAUUGAUCCGAAUUAUGAGUUUAAUUAUUAAAGUGUCUUAUAAAAUUUAGAGGUUAAAUGAGUUUUUUUUUUUUUUUUGACCAUAAUACCUUUUUUUCUCUUUCUUAGAAAUUAAAAAAAAAUCAAAAUUACCUUUAAAUAAAUUAUAAAAACGUGGGAAAAAAUAUUAGAAAAAAAAAUUAUUUGAAAAGUCUGUUGGAUAAGUUGUGACAGAUUUAAUUUAUAUGACAGACUUAUUUGUUUACGAUAGAUUUUUUGUGACAGAUUUUUUUUUUUCACAGACCUACUUGAAAUAGGUUACGACAGAUAUUUAAUUUAUAACAGAUUUUUUCUCCACGACAGACUUAUUUUAUGAUAACACCACAAAAUUUUGUAAUUUUGACAGAUUUAUGAAAAUAUAUGACAGAUUUAUUGUUUCAGUGGCGUCAGAUUUAUAUUUUUUUGAAAAAAAUCUGCCAUAAUGUAACAUAUUUGUUAAUGAAAAAAUAAUUACUAGUUUGACUUAUUAGUAAUAACAGAUUUAUUUUAUGUUAUGAUAAUUUUUUUUUUUGAACAAAAAUCUGGAAUGUGAUACUAGAUUUGUUAUUUAAAAAUAUAAAUUAGUACAAUGACAUAUACUCGCAACCGAAAUGUUUUAUGUUAUGACAGAUUUUUUUAAUAUCACGACGGAUUUCAGAUAGGUUAUAAAAAAUCUGUCGUAUUAUGACAGUUUUAUUGAUGAAGAUAGAAUUUUAAUCUGGAUAGUAAGGUAAUGACAGACAUAUUCUUACCGUGACAAACUUAUUUAUAUUAAAUGGCACAUGUGUGGCUGUCUCCUUGUUAAUAUAUGACUAAAUUUUUUUUUGUUUGUUUUAGAUAUAUAUACCUAUUUUUUUCAAUUUCUAUUUUUGUUUUCGUUUUGCAUUUUUAUUUCGUUUUAUAUAUUUUUUUAAUUUUUUUUUUGUUUUUUUUUUCUAUUUUUUGUUGUAUAUAAUUAUAAAAAAAUUUUAAUUUUAAUUUUUUCGUUUUCUAUUUUUUAAAAUUUUUUAUUUUUCGUUUUCUAUUUUGUUCUAGUUUUCUAUUUAAUUUAAUUAUUAUAUGUUAAUUUGUUUAUUUUAAUAGAAUUGAAAAUAAGAUGGGUAUUUGGUCUUUUAACACAAAAUUAUGUUAUUCUAGUAAACCACAAUAUUUGAGUGUUAAUCUAGUUAUUUUUUCCGAGAUUUGUGUCAAACUAGGUAAAUUUCGAAAAUAAUAUAUAUUUUUUUCAUUUCGGGUCAUCACCGUACAAAUCGUGUGAUUGUAAGAGUUUGAACUCAGUCAUACCUUUUACUUCUUCUUCGGCCCUCUUGUGGCCGCAAAUACCAACUUCUCUUUCAUCUCCGUUACAAACUCUAAACAUUUCUUCUAGAAACUGAAUUUAUCAAUAGACUUUCGUAUAUGGUAACCAAAACUGUAAACUACAUAUAUUUUAUAAAAACUUAUCUCCAUUCAAUAUCCAAAUCCCUUCCAACCUCACACAAAAAUCGAAAACAAUGUACUCUUCAUCGCCCGUAUCGACAUGCUUCUUUUUGAUCCCUAUCUUGGCCAUGGUGGCCACACAACUGGUCUUUAUGCGCACCGUUUCGUCUUUGAACAUGACCAAUGCCUAUUUGAACCACAAAUGCUUAGCCAAACAAGGAAGAUACAAGCCGGGAAGUUGGUAUGAGAAACAACUCCAAACUAUCAUAGUCUCUAUCGGAAGCGGUGAUGGUUUUACCCACGGUUACGACAUGAUGGGCCUUGGUGAUGAUUCUGAUUACGUCAGCGUCACCAACCAGUGCCGCGGGGACUCCUACGGGUCCAAGUGCCGCUCCUGCUUUGCCACCGCCAUCGCAGGGGUAACGCGAUUAGCUGUUACAUAUAUCAUAUAUCAUUUUUUGAUUAGCUGUUACAUAUAUCAUUAUUACAUGAAUAAAUUUAGGCGCACACACAUGUCAGUUUUGGUUACAUGUUAGCGAUAAAAUGUAUAAUAGAAAAGAGAUUUUAGCGAUAAAAUGUAUAAUAGACAAGAAAUUAUAUCUUAUAUGUAAAUUAGUCAAUGCAAUGUUGAUAUUGAUUUUGGCGUUAAUAUGACAAAAAUGUAUAUGACAGCUUCGUAGGAGAUGUCCGCGGUAUAAGGGGGCAAUAAUAUGGUAUGACCAAUGUACUGUCGAGAUUUCUUCGUUCGAUCCUCAAGGAAAGUUCGAUAAAGAUAACGAUUUCUGUAUGUCCAACGCGAAGAAAAUGAACGUAGAUUCGUUUGGAGAGAAGUGGAUGACUUUCCUCGACAAUUUGGUGGGUAUAGCCCUCAAAGAUUAUUUGUAUGCCGCGGGGGAUACAAGGUUCGGGACGAAGAAGUUGUACGGGAUGGUGCAGUGUAGGACUGACAUAUAUAAUAAUAGUUGUCGAAAGUGUGUUGGACACUUAGCCGUGAAAUUUCAAGAUUGCUGGCAUGGUAAACAAGGAGCUAGAGUUAUGGGUAGUGGUUGUAACUUUAGGUAUGAGCUUUACCCUUUUGUUAGUAGUGCCAAGCCUAAUUUGAAGUAAUUUUUAAUUCUUAUGCUUUUAGAUUUUUUUUCCGUAAACUUUAAAUUUUAUUUAUAUGAUUUUUUAUUUUGUUUGGAAAGAACAAUAUCAUGUAGUUUAAAUAAUUUUUAUGUUUGUUAUGUCAAAAAUAUUUUAAAUAAUGUAUUUUUGAACUUUACGUGUAAAAUUUAUUUUCUGUAAAUUUCUAAAACAUAUUUAUGAAAUUUAUAGAUACUAAUCAAGGAAAUCAUUUUAAAAAAGAGAGAAACAUUGCAUUAUUAUGUUUUAAAAACUAUACUUAAUCGUGGUAAGUUAGUUUAAAAUGAUUGAUAAUUUAAUAGGAUACAAUAAUCAGCAUUAAGAAACCCAUCAAAAUGGUAACCAUAAGAAAAAGAAGCUCACCAAAAUAACAUGAAAGUUCCUUAAAAAGUACAAAUAAGAUAAGAGAUACUAGAAGGUUGAGGAAUGUUCAUAUAUUUUAUAUGAAAACAUUUCCCACCAACUUGGAUUUCGACACGACGGAGAAAUAUGUCUAAAUGUUCACGUAAUUCAAUAUAAUCUAGUAAGUAUAAACUCAGUAUCUAGUAAAUAAUUCAACACAUGUUUAAGUUGCAACUCAGCAUCUCAUGAUCUUGCUUUAGAAUUGUAAAUAUCAAUAUUUGUUUGUUGUUGUUGUUGUUUUAAGAAAAUUAAAAAAAAAUCUAGAAACAUAGAAACGUAACACUAAUAAUAGACGAGAAGUGAUAUAUAUAUAUAUAUAUAUAUAGAACCUUAUAAUAUUUGACCAAGAAAAAAAAAACAAAGAAUCUUGUAAAUUGUAACUAUGGAAAUUAACAUUUCUUUCAUUAUCACCGUACAAAUCUUGUGAUUGCAAAAGUUUGAACUCAGUCACACCUUUGAGCUUUUACUUUUUCUUCGGCUUUCUUGUCGCCGCAAAUACUAAUUCCCCUCUCCUGUCCGUUACAAACUCUAUACUCUAUUAGAAACUUUAAUUAAUUGAAAGAAAAUUUUAUAAGGUAUCGAAAUCCCUCUUAGUCUCCUACAUAUACAUCACAGUCUCAACACUUUAUCCACCCACGUUUGGAAAACAUAAAAAUACAACAUCCAAAAACAAUGUACUUUUUAUACUCUAUAUCAAAACAUGUCUUGGCCCUGGUGGCCACACAAGUGCUCCUUAAUUAUACGCAGCGUUUCGUCUUUGAACAUGACCAAUUCGUAUCUAAACCACAAAUGCUUAGUCAGUCAAGGGAAAUACAAGCCAGGAAGUGUGCAUGAGAAAAGCCUAGAAGCUAUCAUCCAUUCCAUCUCGGUUGGUGAAAAUGUCAAUAGCGGUUACGACAUGAUGUCUUUUGGUGACGGUCCAGAUCUAGUCUGCGUUAUCCUCCAAUGCCGUGGUGACUCCUACGGGUCCAAGUGCCGCUCCUGCUUUGCCUCAGCCAUAGCCGGGGUAACGUCACUUCAAUAUUAUUUAUUAGCUGCCAAAUAUUUACAUGAUAAAUAUGUGUACACACAUGUCAGUUUUGGUUACAUCUUAGCGAUAUUAAAAUAUAUAACAGACUAGAAAACUAUACCUUAUAUGUAAAUUAGUCCAUGCAGUGUUGAUAUUGAUUGUGGCUUUGAUAUGCAAAAUGUAUAUGACAGCUUCGUAGGAGAUGUCCGAGAUAUAAAGGGGGAAUAAUAUGGUUCGACCAAUGUCUUCUCGAGAUUUCUUCGAUCGAUACUGUAGGGCAGCUCAAUUACGAUGACAGUUUUUGUAUGUCCAACGCAAAGAAUGUGGGAGAUAAUCCAUAUCUAUUCAUACUGAAGUGGGAUACUCUCUUCGACAAUAUAUCACGUAUAGCCAUCACUGAAAAGAAUUAAAAUUUUAAAGAUGCCAACAAACCGGCACUAUAUGGGGCGGGGGAGAAGAGGAUCGGGACAAAGAGGAAGAUGUAUGGAAUGGUUCAAUGUACGGAUGACUUAUCUGUUAAGGCUUGUCAAGAGUGUCUGGUUUCUAAUAUCUUGAAGUUUCAAGAUUGCUGGAAAAGUGGUACGUAAACGCGGUGCGAGAGUUUUGGGUAGGAGCUGUACAGCUAAUGAAACUUUAGGUAUGAACUUUACCCUUUUGUUAAUGCCAAAACCGGUCCUAAUUCUUAUUUGAAGAGUUAAUGAAAUUUUAAAAAAAAUACAGGUUUUAGAACUUUUUUUUUUUUUUUUUGUAAAUUAUCAAUUUUCGUUUACAUUAAUUAAUUAUUUUAUGUAGAAGAAAUCUUAUGAUGUAGUUAAAAUAAAGGGAAUUAUCCUUUUAUUGUAUUCCAUGAUAUUUUCAUGUUUUUAUUGCACUAAAUGACACUUUUUAAUAGUUAUACCGUUUGCCUUUGAUAAAAUACACAAUUUAUAUUGUACGUACUCCGAAUAAUUCUGAUAUAGAAAUUCUAAAACGUUGACAAGAAAAACCGAAAAAUUCUAAAACAUGUGGUGUAAGUACAUGUGAAAUUCUACAUAUCACUACGUACAUAUAUCACAUUAAAACUCUAAUACAUGUGAAUGAACGUAUUUUCAUAUAUAAUGUACGUAGAUCUAUCUGAAAUUCAAUUCUAAACCAUUCUGUUUCUGUAUAUCAAAACUAAAACGACAUAUAAGUACAUGACAAACACUAUUUUUCAUUAAGUGUAAUUGGGUCUUUGAACCCACCAAAGUAUCAUCGAGUGCAAUAAAAUACUCAUGGGUGUCAUGAGAUGUAAUUUACACUCUUCAUCAUCUUUGUAUAAUAUGCAACUAUGUUAACCAUUAUGGCCUCUAUUCUCCUGUUAUAGAGUUUUCCUCGUUAAGCUAUUUUAGUUCUCUCUCAAGAGCUAGCUUUGAAACAUUUUAGAUGAUCAAAUUUAUCAAAAAAGAAAUAAAAUUUAAAUUAAAGCAAUUUUCUUAUCUGGAGAGACACAAACUUAACACUCAUAGCAGUUAUUAAGUUAUACUCCUGUAUGCUAAUUAGAUGAAAGUGAAAAUAUAUUGGGAUCUGGUCAUGUUUGACCGAAACAAAAGAAUCUAAUAAUUAUAGAAGUUAACCAUUCCUUCAUUUCAGGUCGUCACUGUAUAAUCAUGUGGUUGUGAGAGAGUUUGAACUCAGUCACACCUUUGAAAUUUUACUUUUUCGUCAGCCCUUUUGUCACCGCAAAUACCAAUAAAAAUAACUUCUUUCAUCUCCGUUACAAACUCUCAACAUUUCUUCUAGAAACUGAAUUUAUCAAUAGACUUUCGUAUAAGGUAACAAAAAACUGUAAACUAUAUAUCACUUAUCUCCAUUUAAUAUCCAAAUUCCUCCAAGUUUCCUACAUCAAAAUCAAAGUCUCAACGGUUUAUCUAAAAAAUUAACACUUCCGUUUGGAAAAACAUAAAAAUAAAAAAUCCAAACAAUGUACUCUUCAUCCUCUAUAUCAAAAAGCCUCGUUUUAGUCCCUAUCUUGGUCGUGAUGGCAACACAACUUCUCCUUAUGCGCACCGUUUCUUCUUUGAACAUGACCAAUGCGUACCUGCACCACAAAUGCUUAGUUAGUCAAGGUAAAUAUAAGCCGGGAAGUUUGGACGAGAAAAACUUCAAUGCUAUCAUCAAAAGCUUGUCGAAUGAUACGGAUGCUUUUCGUGCGGGUUACAGCAAUGAUGGCCUUCGGUGAUGAACCUGAUAUGGUCUCCGUCACCUUCCUGUGCCGUGGCGACUCUUACGGACCCAAGUGCCGUUCCUGUUUUGCCACCGCCCAAUCUGAGGUAACGUCAACUGAAUAUUAUCAAUUAGCCGUCACGUAUGUGCAUGCAUAAAUAUCCCCACACACGUCAAAUGAUUGCAUCUUAAGAGAAACUAUAUCUUACAUUUAAAUUAGUCCAUGCAAUGUUGAUAUUGAUUGUGACGUUGAAAUGGAAAAUGUACAUGACAGCUUCGUAAGAGAUGUCCGAGAGACAAGGGGGGACUAAUAUGGUACGACCAUUGUCUUGUCGAGUUUUCUUCGUCCGAUACUACAGGGCAGAUCAAUUACGAUGAUGGUUUCUGUAUGCCCAGCGCGAAGAACGUUAGUGGUGAUCGGAUUUCUUUCGAAAAGUCGUUAUUGGUUCUCAUCAGCGAUUUGACACGUAUAGCCGUCACUAAAAACCAGAAGCCGGCGCUGUAUGCGGCUGGGGAGAAGAGGCUGGGGAAGAAGAAGUUGUACGUAAUGGUGCAGUGUAUGCUUGACUUAUCUGAUAAGGGUUGUGAGGAGUGUAUGUCACAUAAUGUCGUGCAUUAUCAAGAUUGCUAUAAACAAAAACAAGGAGCUAGAGUUUUAGGUAGGAGCUGUAACUUUAGGUUUGAGCUUUACCCUUUUGUUGACCAGAAGAGCAGUCCUAAAUAAUCAAAUUGUCAAGGAAUUUCAAUUAUUCUAUUGGUCCAGAUUUUUUUGUUAAAUUUGAAUUUUACUUUACAAAUAUUAAUUAUUUUAUUUAGAAAAAAUCAUAUGAUGUAGGUAAAAUAAAUUUAUAUUAGGCUUUAAAAAAAAUAUUCUAAACUAGUUUUUGAAUUUGUUGUGUAAUUGUUUCUUUUAAGCAAUUUGGUUGUAUAAAGAAAAUCAUAAAUUAAAUCGAUAAACAUUGCAUAAUAUGCUUGAAAAAUAGAACAUAUCUAUAUUUAAUCAUGGUAAUUAGUUGAAAUGAUUGAUAAUUAAUAAAAUAAACAGAAUUGAGAAAGUAAAGUGUACUCCUUUCAACAUUUUUUUUAACAAAUAAUAAAAUGAGGUCUUGAUCGCUCUCCCAAAAACAAUUCUUUUUGUUUGACAUCCUCAAAAACCAAUUUUUUUGAAAAAAAAAACAAUUUUUUUCAACUUUUGGAUCAGAAAGUAUUCGGGAGGACAAACUCAUUUUUUCCUUCCAUAGAGCAUCCUAACUAUGCACUACUUCAAUGUAUCGUCAUCUUCCUUUGUAAGAGGCAGCCGGAGAAGCAUAGCUAUACCAAAUGUCAUAAGUAUUAUUCCCUCGAUGAAAGAGUCACCUACCCUAAGCUCUAUUAUGAACUCCGAGCAUCCAACAUUCCAUAAAUGAACAAAUUCAACUGUUUAGAGGAUCUCGAAAAUCCAGUGCAAGUAACAGGAUAUUUAAAUGAGAAAAAGAUAAUCAGCUAUACGACGUAUAACACAUAACUUUAAAUUGUUAUAAAAGUUAAAUUUUCGGUGGGUUUGAUCAUUUUUGUAUAAUAUGCAACUAUGUUUCACAAUUAUGGUCUCUCUUAUCUUGUUGUAGAGUUUUCCUCGUUAAGCUGUUUGAGACUUUUAGUUCUAUCUCAGGAACUAGCUUUUAAACAUUAUAAAUUAAAGCAAUUUUCUUUAAUAAAUAUGUUAUAUAGAAACACACAAACUUGAUUAAAUAGCAUAUAUAUACAUAUAUAAUUUGAUGAAAUCUGAAAAUUGGGAUUGAUCAUGUUAGACAAAAAAGAAGAAAGAAUCUUGUAAUUAUAGAAAGCAACGAUUUCCCCCAGAAUUGGCUUAUAUAAGCUAAUCUAAUAAAAUUGUUGACAAAAAAAAAAAAAAAAAUCAAUGAUUCCUUCAUUUCAGGUCGUCAUCGUACAAUCGUGUGAUUGUAAUUGUUUGAACUCAGUCACACCUUGGAGCUUUUACUUUUUCGUUGGCCCUUUUGUUGCCACAAAGUUCCUCCCGAGUCUCCUACACAAAAAUCACAGUUUCAACGCUAAAAAGCUAUAUAAAAAAUUCCCUCUUGAAAAAAAAAAAAAAAACCAAAAUAAAUCCAAAACAAUGUAUUCUUUAUCCUCUGAAUCAAAACGCUUCAUUCUAGUCCCUAUCUUGGUCGUGGUGGCCGCACAACUCCUUCUCGUACACAGCGUUUCUUCACUAAACCUUACCAAUUCGUAUCUCCAGCACAAAUGCUUAGUCAAUCAAGGGAAAUACAAGCCGGGAAGCCAGCACGAGAAAGCCCUCAAUGAUAUCAUACAAAGCUUUUCAAAAGAUUCGGAAGGUUUUCAUACCGGUUUCAGCAUGGAGGCCUAUGGUAAAGAGCCUGAUAUAGUCGCCAUCACCUACCAGUGUCGUAUCGAUUCUCGCGGGCCCAAGUGCCACUCCUGCGUUGUCACCGCCGGUUCUGAGGUGACAUAUUUGAGUAUUACUAAUAGUAAAGUAGUCGAUUUACUAUUCAAAAUUAGCAAAAUACCUAGUUUUUACUAUCAUACACUAUUUUGAUAAUUUUCAAGUCCUCAAUCAAAUGAUUUAAUGUGAUUUGUACAUCAAAUUUAGUGUACAUAUGCACAUCUACAUAUACAUUUUUACAGGGGUUUUUUGCAUUAAUUCAUUUGGAUCCGGGUUUUACCCGGGUUUAACUCUAUUCGGAUCUUGGAUAAGCAAUUUUAAGAAUGUUGUAAUAAAAACAAACGAAUAUUUUGACUAUAACUACUCUAACAAUUCGGUUUAAUGAUAUUCCCUAAAUUAUUUGCCACAUUAAUCGGCAACAAUCCUUAUAAUAUCUAAUUGUUACGAAUAUUUGCACAAUCUAAACUAAUUACUCAUUUACUCUAUAUAUAUAUCCGAGAUUAUUGGUAUUUCCUUAUCUAUAAUUCAUAUAAUCUAAAAAUAUAUAUAUUUGAUCUCAAUUAAUAUCUUCUGACUCAACUAAUUAUUACUAUCAAAUUCUUAAUCAAUGGCAUAUUCCUUGCAUCUAUAAUAAAUCCGGGAUUUUAUUCUAUAUAUGCUAUUGUUACAGAGAUAUUAUACUUCUUGUGCAAGAUUUCCGUCACUAAUUAACACAUAUGGAAAUCUACAUCUUAAACCACUAUAAAUAGAGUUAUCAUCUACGUCUUCUACGGUUAUAUCAGAUCCCAAAACAACUUUAAAAUUUCAUUUUUUCAGUUAUACAAUAUCAGAUCCGCACGUAUGUGCUGGUGAUAGGUCACCGUGUUCUUCACGGCGUUCUGGAGAAUGUUUUAGUUACUCCAGCUUCAGGAAACGCGUUAUCGACGGCGCGUCAUCGGCGUAACGUCGGAUCAACCGGAAGCCACCGUGUCUUCUCCCUAAGCAAACUAGAGUUAUGUUGUUUUCCCUGUCAGACAAAUCCUGUUGUUAAAUUUCACAUAAUUUGUUGAAUAAUUACUGGACGCUUAGGUUUUAAAUGUUUUUUUUUUCUUGGCAGAGACUUAAGGUUUAUGUGUGUCUUCCAGGUUAAAUUAUGGUGGAUAACUCAGAAUGGGUACUAAUGGGAAAGUGAUUCCUUGCGAGACUCAGUUUCUAAUCGUAGAGGCAAACCAAGGAUCUGAUUUAUGAGGAGGAGAUCAAUCUUCUUCGUACGUUGUAUUCUUGCCUAUACUUGAAGGAGAUUUUAGAGCUGUUCUUCAAGGGAACGAGGCUAAUGAGCUAGGGAUUUGUCUUGAAAGCUGUAAAUAUAUAUAAUCCACUAAUUAGUUUAAAAUUUUUGUUAGAUUAUCUCUGAGAUUUAUGGUUUGUAUGGUCAAGGUGAUCCAACUGUUGACCAAUUCGAGGGGAGUCAUUUGGUUUUUGUGGCUGUUGGCUCCGACCCUUUUGAUGUCAUUACCAAAGCUGUCAAGUAUGUGACGUUUCUUAACUCAAACUUAUUAUUGAUUUUGUUCUUUAUAUCCCAAGUGUUAAGAAUCUUUGUCCCAGGGCUGUUGAACAACAUCUUCAGACAUUUUCACACCGAGAGAGAAAGAAAGUAAGGAAACUCUGAGAACGUUUUAUGUGAUCUUUGAUUAUAUAUACAUACAAAAAAUGAACUCUGAAAUUUCCGUGUUUUGGUUUUGUACAGAUGCCAGAUAUUUUGAAGCUUUUCUAGCUAUCAAUCCUUUUUCCUCAUGACAACAUAAUUAUCUCUCUUUUUUUGAAACAAUAUAAAUGGUAAUGAUUACGUUUUUGUUUAUGUUUAUAUGAACUUUCAUGUUUUAUUAUUCUUAACUAUACUAAAUAUUUGAUGUCUUGUGCAGAUGAUUUGGUUAUGAUUUGGGUUUCAGGAAAGGUCAAGAGUAAUGUUGAGGUUUGUAGAUUUGGUUGAGAAACACAGCGAAGAACUCGCGUCUCUAGAGACUUGGGACAAUGGCAAGCCUUACCAACAAUCCAAGACCGUAGAGAUUCCAAUGUUUGCAAGAUUGUUCCGUUACUAUGCUGGUAUCAUAAAACGAACUUAAAUCUUGAGAAUUCUGGUGAAAUUUUCUUGCUUUUGUGUUAAUUUCUGUGAAUGAAUAUUCUUGGUUUUGCUUUGAUGUGUAGGAUGGGCGGAUAAGAUUCAUGGACUAACAGUUCCAGUUGAUGGAAACUAUCAUGUUCAAACAUUGCAUGAACCCAUAGGUGUAGCUGGACAGAUCAUUCCUGGGAAUUUUCCGCUUUUGAUGUUUGCUUGGAAAGUUGGUCCUACUCUUGCUUGUGGUAACACCACUGUCCUUAAAACCGCUGAGCAAACACCUCUCACGGCUUUCUAUGCUGGCAAGCUUUUACUUGAAGUAAGAUACAUGCGAUAAAUUAUCUUAUUUUCUUCUCUAGGAAAAGAAAACUUUUAUGAGUAACAAUGUUUCUUGUGAAAUUUAUGAUAGGCUGGUCUUCCUCCUGGAGUUCUGAAUAUAGUUUCUGGAUUCGGUGCAACAGAAGGGAUGCCCUCGCGAGUCACAUGGAUGUAGACAAGGUAGAGAUAUUUGUUUACUUGGUUUUAACUUCUUUAAGAAACUAUAUUAUCUUACAUUGUUCUUUUUUGAUUCAGCUUGCUUUUACAGGAUCGACUGAUACAGUCAAAGUUAUACUUGGAUUGGCUGCCAACAGCAAUCUUAAGCCGGUAACUCUGGAACUUGGAGGGAAAUCACCAUUCAUCGUAUUCGAAGAUGCUGAUAUUGAUAAGGCCGUAUUGCACACUUUGCCCUCUUCUUCAACCAUGUAUUGUCAAUAGUAGAAUAUAUACCUUGAGCUAAGCUGACUCAUUUUCUUAGCUGGUUCUGGAGAUAGUGUUGAGUAAUGUUUUUGUAGGGACAAUGUUGCUGCGCGGGGUCUCGGACAUUUGUUCAUGAGAAAGUGUAUGAUGAGUUUGUUGAGAAAUCAAAGGCACGGGCAUUGAAACGUAUUUACAACGUUUUUAUGAUAGUUUGUAAUUAAGUCUCUUAAAUAAAGUAUUGAUGAGCUAUGAUAGUUUUUUUUUUCAUAUUUUGAACAUUAACAAAUUUUCUAAUUUGAUUAAGCUAAUGUUGAUUAGUGAGUGUUACCAAUCGAAGUUGCAUUUGUGCUACGUUGGUUGCUGGAACGACGAUGAUUCGAGACAAUUAGAUCUUAUAAGUGAUGGUAAAGCUAAGUUGGUUUUUGUAAGUGAUAUUAGAGAGAGAAUGGACGAGAUUCUGCAAGUCAUCGGGAUAUAAACCAAUCUCAUCAAGUAAAACAUGGUAGUGAGCUGGUCUUGAAGUUCCCUAAGUCAUUAUCGAGAGAAACAUUAUGUAGAGUUGAGUGUAAUAAAAGUGUGAGGAGUGAAGCUUUCUGAAAAAUAAAUUCAGUUUUUUUUUGUCUAAACUUACUGUUAUUCCUGCAUUAGCACACAUAAUUUAUAAGAUUUUUAAACUUUAUACUACGGGUGAAAUCCUAGAAUUGACGGGUUUGGUUCGAUAAUAAUACGAGACAGUAUACUAUGGGUGAAAUCCUAAAAUUAACAAUAAGAAUAUAAUUGUACAAUCUUAAACACUAAACAAAACAAAAAAUAUUAACAAAACAAAUACAACUUAAAAUUUAAUAUUUGUUUAAACGCAUCUUGAUUCUUUUAUAAGAAGUUUACACAUUAUAAAUAUUUAAACUUUAUACUAUGGGUGAAAUCUUAGAAUUGACGGCAUUGGAUCGAUAUUAAUACAGGAUGAUAUACUACGGGUGAAAUCCUAGAAUUAACAAUCAAAAUACAAUUAUACAAUCUGAAACACUAAACAAAAUAAACAAUAUUAACAAAACAAAUACAACUUAAAAUUUCAAAAUUUUAGUUAUAAAAUAUCGUUUGUGGUGUAUUAUACAUUUAAAUUAAACAAAACAAUAGCAUAUAUUUAUAGAUCAUCCUAAAAAAAAUAUUUGUUUAAGAAAAAUAUAGGCCCGCGGUAAAUAUAUACAUUUAAAUUAAUAAAAAAAUUCAUAUAUGUCAAAUAAAAUAUUUAAAUUAAUAAUUCAAAAAACAUCAAAUAAUAUUUAGUCCCGCGGUGUACCGUGUGUUAACAUCUAGUAAAUAUACACAAUUUUAUUCUUACACUCAUUUAAUGUACAUUAAAUAAGCUGUACAGAUAAAAAUGUGUAUAUUUCUAUAUUUGAUAUCUCUAUACUAUUAAAAGAGAAAUACAAAUGAAAAUGGGUCGGGUUAAAAUCAGAAAAUUGACCCGAAAUUCUGAAAUCGGAUCUUUGAAAUUUUUUUGGAAUAUAAAUUCGAAUUAAUAAUGAAAAAUCGAAAUAAAAUCAAAUAUUUAUGUAAAUCAAAUAGAAUCUGAUUGUACUUAUGGUAACUAAUAAUAAAAACAUAUUCCAAACAAUAUUAUACAUUAAUUACGUAUACUAAAUUUGUUCAUAUAUUUUUGGGACUAAUUUCAUAACAAUCAACGUUUUUGUCAUUAAUUUCGCUCAUUUUAGCCAAUUAUCAUUAAUUGAAAGAUAUUUUACUUGCUUCUAAAGAUUUCUAGAAAAUUUAUCAUAAAUAACCCAUCUGUUUUAUAAAUUAAAUUAAUAUUUUUCUUUUUGUAGUGUAAAUUAAAUAGAUAUUUUUAUUUUGGUUGUGUAAAUUAAAUAAAUAUGAAAUCCAUGUAACUAAUUUUAAUUUAAUUAGAUUAAAUCGAAAUUAUGAUAUUUUCAUACCUAUAGCUUACCAAAGAAGUUUAAUUUUCAAUUUAUAAAGAUUUCUUGAAUAUGAUUUUAGAAUUAUUCAACAAGAUGAUAAGUAUUUAUUAAAUUUUGUGAAUCAUGAAAAAUAAUAAUUAAUUUUUAAUCAUUAUACUUCAUCUUUCAAUCUCUCAUCUAACAAAUAAGAUACAUAUUCUAUUAUUACUAUGUCUAAACUUCAUUUUGUUGUAUGACUAAAUAAUAUUCUCAUUAGAACUGUCAAAGCGAGUUGAUUCGUCCCGUUAAGUCUAUUUUGCGAUAGACAAAAAAUAUUUUGACUUGUAGUUGGUCGGUCCGCACGACCCGUGGGGAGCAUAUAAGAAAUACAAACCCGUCCCGCGAAUGUAUGCGGAUUUGCGGGAUUGUCCAUGGAUUUUGUUUAAAUAAUUUUAAAGUAACCAAAAUUUAAAAUACUACUAAAAUAAAUAAAUAAAUCAAAAUACUAUUAAAAGUUUGUUUAAAUUACCACAUGUUGAAUAAAUUAUAAUUUUAUCAAUAAAUACUAAUAUGCGGGCUGAUCCGCCAACCCGCGGAUGAAAACCGAUUAAACCUAUGACCCACUGCGAAUUAAUCCAUGUGGCUCGCUUAUUUGCGGGUUUAAUAUAUUUUCCCAAAUCUGCCCCAUAGUGAGAUGAUGUGGGCUGGACCCGCGGUUUUUGACCUAUUUUGACUGCUCUAAUUCCCAUGAAUCGUCUAAUUUUAGAAUUUUAAAACACAAAAUUCUAUUUUGUAAAUCAUAAUUAUUACGAUGGAUAUAUUUAUAAACAAUUUUAUAUUUUCUCUACAAUUCGUUAUUAUGAAUAUUUAUAAGUAUACUACACGAUUCGUUCUACUAAAAAACACACACAAUAUUAAACAUAACAUAUGUAAACCAAUAUUCUCCCGCGGUGGACCGCGGGUCCGAUCCUAGUAAAUAUGUACAUUUAUAAGCUGUACAGAUAAAAAUGUGUAAAUCUCUAUACAUUUGUACACUUAAUUAAUUUUACAGAUAAAAAUGUGUGUGUAAUAUAUUUGAAAUCAUCAAACAAAAUGUAUACCAAAUUAUAGAGAAAAAAAGAUUUUUAUGUACCUCAAAGUUUUUAGAAAAUAAAUUUACAAUGAUGUGUAUUUUAAUUAUUAGAUUUGAGGGAGAGUGUAAAAAGAAAGAAAAAUUAAAUUUUAAAGCCGACAAGAUUUUUCUUCUAUUAUACCGAAAGAUUUAUUAAAAAGAACAAUGAAAGGUGAUGAUUUCUCAUAAUUUGCAAUUAAUAAUAAAUCUAGACGACAAAAAAAAAAAAGAAAGGUGAUGAUUUUCCUAAUUUUAAAUAGUAAAGUGGCUACUUUCCAUAUUAAGUCUUCAAAACGGACUAUUUUUCCUACUCACCCUUACUAAUAAGCUAGCUUUUACAUAAUGUAUAAACAUGCGUGCAGAGACUAUAUAUCUUAUACUAUGUAAAGUAGUCCAUGCAAUGUUGAUAUGGAUUGUGGCGUUGAUCUGAAAAAUGUCUAUGACAGCUUCUUCGUAAGAGAUGUCCGAGAGAUAAAGGGGCAAUAAUAUGGUACGACCAAUGUCUUGUGGACUUUUCUUCGUUAGAUACUUUUGGGCAGAUCAAUUACGACGACAACUUCUGUAUGCCCAGCACGAAAAACCUGAUCGGCGAUUCGAUUUCUUUUGAAGAAAGGUUGCGUCUCCUCGACAAUCUGACAGAGAUGGCCGUCACGAAAAUAGAUAGAAACAUAAAAGGUAUAAAAAAAGCAGUACUGUAUGCGGCGGGGGAGAGGAGACUCGGGAAGAAUAAUCUGUACGGAAUGGUGCAGUGCUCUGGUGACUUAUCUGUUCAGGGUUGUAAUGAGUGUAUGACAUAUUAUACAGUGCAUUUUCAAAAUUGCUGGAAAAGCAAACAAGGAGUACGAGUUUUGAGUAGAAGCUGUAACUUUAGGUAUGAGCUUUACCCUUUUAUCAACCCCAAGGGUCCUUACUAUACCAAGUUCUAAAGCAAUUUGACUAUGUUGCUUUUAGAAUAUUUUUCUUUUCUUUUAACUUCAAAUUUCCCGUUAUUUAAGGUGAAUUGUUUUUCUAUUAUUUAGUAAAAUAUAUAUGAUGUAGUUGAAGUAAAUUUCUAUCAGUUAAGUAAACGAUUCUAUAUAAUUAAUUUUUGAAUUUUCAUUCUUUAUCUUUAGAAAUUGUUGACUAGGGUGAUUAAUGGUUAGAUAGACUUGUUAUUGAUGCUUAUUGAUCAUUUGAUUGCCUUUAGAAAUUGUUGAUGUUAAGUAAAGGGAUUAAUAUCAUGGAAAUGAAUUAGUCUUGUUUGGUGAUCUAUUACCUAAGGAUCACACUUGUUAGGAGUUGUAUUAAGCUCCAUAAAUCAUGUCUUGAUCAUCUUUAUCGAAUACCUUAACCCGGGAUUUCGUCUUUUAUUAUCAAACCACUUUGUUUGAUUUUGAAUUGUGUUAGUCUUUUGCAUAUUGUUUUCUUUUGCUUUAAUUUGUAUUAUUUGAUUUUAAUUGCUUGGUUUAGUUAAGUUUGUAUUAGAAAACCAAAAUCAAACUCUUGUUAAGCUUAAAUUUAAGUAAACUUCUGUAUUCUUGAUGAAUUAAUUAAUUGCUCUAUGUGGUUCGACCCUAAGUACUUUAAUGAUGGGAUCAUUAGUGCAUUAGGAAUUUAAUUGACUAAAACACUAUAUCAGAGAACAAACUCAUUUUUUUCCUUCCAGAGACCAUCCUAACUAUGCUACCUUUGUAAGGAGCGGUGGGAGAAGCAAAGCUGUACCAAAUGUCAUAAUUAGGAGUCUGAUUCGAUUAUUCCCUUAAUGAAAGAGUCAACUAGUUGAUGCUCUACUGUUAACUACGAGCAUCCAACAUUCCCUAUAAAUGAACAAAUUCAACUGUUUAUAGGAUCUCGAAAAUCCGAUCCGAGUAAGCGAAUAUUUAAAUGGGAAAACUAUAGCCAACUAUACGAUGUAAAUCACAUAAAUUUUGAAAUUCUUAUAAAAUUUAAAUUUUCUAUGGGAUUGGCCAUUUUUAUAUAAUAUGCAACUAUGAUCAACCAUUGUGGCCUCUCUUCUUCUGUUUGUAGAGUUUUCCUCGUUAAGCCGAUUUAGACUUUUAGUUCUAUCGCAGGAUCUAGCUUGUAAGCAUUUUAAAUUAAAGCAAUUUUCUUUAGUAAUAUAGUAUAUAGAAACACACAAACAUGCUAAAUAUACUAUUAGAUGAAAUCUGAAAAUUGGAAUCGACCAUGUUAGAAAAAAACCAAGAAUCUUGUAAUUAUAGAAAUCAACAAUUCCUUCAUUUCAGGUCGUCAUUGUACAAUCGUGUGAUUGUAAUUGUUUGAACUCAGUCACACCUAGGAGCUUUUACUUUUUCGUCGGCCUUCUUGUUGCCACAAAGUUCCUCCCGAGUCUCCUACAUAACAUCAGUCUCAACGCUAAAAAUCUAUAUAAAAACACCCCUCUUGGAAACAAAAAUAGAAAAUAAAUCCAAAACAAUGUAUUCUUCAUCAUCUGUAUCAAAAGGCUUCGUUCUAUACGCUAUCGUGGUCGUGGUGACCACGCAACUCAUGCUCGUACGCAGCGUUUCUUCACUAAACCUUACCAAUUCGUAUCUCCAGCACAAAUGCUUAGUCAGUCUAGGGAAAUACAAGCCGGGAAGCGACUACGAGAAAUCCCUCGAUGAUAUCAUCCAAAGCUUUUCGAAUGAAGAUAAAAAUUCGUAUGGUUACCGUGCCGGUUUCAGCAUGUCAGCCUACGGUAAAGAACCUGAUAUGGUCGCCAUCACCUACCAGUGCCGUAUCGACUCUCGCGGGCCCAAGUGCCAAUCCUGCGUUGUCACCGCCGGUUAUGAGGUAACAUACUUGAGUAUUACUUAUAUAGAUAUGCGUGACAUGCAGGCCCGGCCCUAUGGUAAAGCAGAUGAAGCAUUGGCUUUAGGCCACAUUAUAUUUAAACAAUUAUAAGGCCACAUUUAACUAAAAUGGUCGUGCACUUAGGUAAUAGUCACCAGCCAAGUUCUCGAAACAUAUUAGUUAGACAGGUCUUUUUUUUUGUUUUUGGACAAAUUGAUUUUUUUGGACAAAGUUAGACAGCUCAUUUUCUGUCUUUACAUCACUUUACUUUGUUUAUAUUACAUAUGUGUCCCUUAUUAUUAUUUCUUCUACAAUAACUUUCUUUUUUCUAACUCCUAACAUUCUAAAUUUAUUGCUAUCAAAAAAAAAAUAAUUCUAAAUUUCUUAAAUAUAUUCUCAAAAACCUAUAAUAAUAUUACAAANNNNNNNNNNNNNNNNNNNNNNNNNNNNNNNNNNNNNNNNNNNNNNNNNNNNNNNNNNNNNNNNNNNNNNNNNNNNNNNNNNNNNNNNNNNNNNNNNNNNNNNNNNNUUUGUUAAAAUAUAGUAUUUGAACAUAUUCUCUGAAAAAAAAAAUUUAAAGCUUAUUUUUUUCAAAAAAAUUCAUUUUACUUUGUAUACAAUGUAACUAAUAUUAAAAAUAUAUAAAGUUAAAUAUAAAUAAAUUUGGUACCUUAAAUAUUAAGGCCACAUUUUUUAAAAUAACCCUGGUGACAUGUCAUUAUGCUUAGAUCUAAAAGAUAAAUAUUUACAAGAGAUACUACAUCUUAUAUGUAAAUUAGUCCAUUCAAUGUUGAUAUUGAUUGUUCGCCUGUGGCGUUAAUAUGCAAAAUGUUUAUGAUAGCUUCUUCGUAAGAGAUGUCCGAGAGAUAAAGGGGCAAUAAUAUGGUACGACCAAUGUCUUGUGGAGUUUUCUUCGUCAGAUACUUCUGGGCAGAUUAAUUACGACGACAACUUCUGUAUGCCCAGCGCGAAGAACCUGAUCGGCAAUUCAAUUCCUUUAGAAGAAAGGUUGCAUCUCCUCAACAAUCUGACAAAGAUGGCCGUCACUAAAAUAGAUAAAAACAUAGAAGGUAUAAAAAAACCGGUACUGUAUGCGGCGGGGGAGAAGAGACUGGGGACGAAGAAUCUAUACGGAAUGGUGCAGUGUUCGGCUGACUUAUCUGUUCAAGGUUGUAAUGAGUGUAUGCUAUAUUAUAUAGUGCAUUUUCAAAAAUGCUGGAAAAGUAAACAAGGAGUAAGAGUUUUGAGUAGAAACUGUAACUUUAGGUAUGAGCUUUACCCUUUUAUUAACCCGAAGGGUCCUUACUACACCAAGUUCUAGAGCAAUUUGAACAUGUUGCUUUUAGAAUAUAUUUUUUCUUUUCUUUUUAGCUUCAAAUUUCCCCUUAUUUAACGUGAUUUUUUUCUUUCUAUUAUUUAGUAAAAUAUCAUAUGAUGUAGUUGAAGUAAAUUUCUUUAAGUAAACGAUUCUAUAUAAUUAAUUUUUGAAUUUUCAUUCUUUAACUUUGGAAAUUGUUGACUAGGGUGAUUAAUGGCUAGAUAGAUUUGUUAUUAAUGCUUAUUGAUCAUUUGAUUUCCUUUGAAAAUUGUUGAUGAUUAGUAAAGUGAUUAAUAUCAUGCAAAUGAAUGAGUCUUGUUUGGUGAUCUAUAACCGAAGGAUCAGUUGUUAGGAGUUGUAUUAAGCUCCAUAAAUCAUGUCUUGAUCAUCUUUAUCGAAUACCUUAACCCGGGAAUUCGCCUUUUAUCUAUUUUCAAACCGCUUUGUUUGAUUUUGAAUUGUGUUAGUCUUUUGAAUAUUGUUGUCUUUUGCUUUGAUUUGUAUUAUUUGAUUAUAAUUACUUUGUUUAGUUAAGUUUGUAUUUGAAAACCAAAAUCAAACUCUUGUUAAGCUUAGAUUAAGUGAACUUGUGUAUUCUUGAUGAUGAGUUAAUUGAUUGCUCUUUGUGGUUUGAUCCUAAGUACUUUAACCAUGGGAUUAUUAGUGCAUUAGGAAUUUAAUUGACUAAAACACUAUAUCAGAGAACAAACUCAUAUUUCCUUCCAGAGACCGUCCCAACUAUGCUACUUUAACGUACCAUCUUCGUUUGUAAGAGGCGGGGGGAGAAGCAAAGGUAAUUCGAUUAUUCCCUUAAUGAAAGAGUCACCUACUUGAUGCUCUACAGUUCUACGAGCAUAUCCGACAUUCCCUAAAUGAACAAAUUUAACUGUUUAGAGGAUCUCGAAAAUCCGAUCCGAGUAACCGAAUAUUCAAAUGUGAAAAAGAUAGCCAACUAUAUGAUGUAUAUCACAUAAAUUUUGAAAUUCUUAUAAAAGUUAAAUUUUCUAUGGGUUUGGCCAUUUUUGUAUAAUAUGCAACUAUGUUCAACCAUAACUGCCUCUCUUCUCUUGUUUGUAGAGUUUUCCUCGUUAAUCUGUUUUAGACUUUCUAUCUCAGGAUCUAGCUUUUAAGCAUUUUAAAUUAAGCAAUUUUCUUUGAUACAUAUAUUAUAUAGAAACACAAAAACAUGAUAAAUUAGCAAAUAUAUACUAUUAGAUGAAAUCUGAAUAUUGGAAUCGACCAUGUUGGACAAAAAAACAAAAAAUCUUGUAAUUAUAGAAAUCAACAAUUCCUUCAUUUCAGGUCGUCAUCGUAGAAUCGUGUGAUUGUAAUUGUUUGAACUCAGUCACACCUUGGAGCUUUUACUUUUUCGUCGGCCUUCUUGUUGCCACAAAGUUCUUCCCGAGUCUCCUACAUAAACAUCAGUCUCAACGCUAAAAAUCUAUACAAAACCACCCCUCUUGGAAACAAAAAUAGAAAAUCAAUCCAAAACAAUGUAUUCGUCAUCAUCUAUAUCAAAACGCUUUGUUCUUUACCUUACCGUCGUCGUGGUGACCACACAACUCCUCCUUGUACACAGCGUUUCUUCACUCAACCUUACCAAUUCGUAUCUCCACCACAAAUGCUUAGUCAGUCUAGGGAAAUACAAGCCGGGAAGCGAGUACGAGAAAUCCCUCGAUGAUAUCAUCCAAAGCUUUUCAAAUAAAGAUAAAAAUUCGUAUGGGUUUCGUACUGGUUUCAGCAUGAAGGCCUACGGUAAAGAACCUGAUAUGGUCGCCAUCACUUACCAGUGCCGUGUCGACUCUCGCGGGCCCAAGUGCCAGUCCUGCGUUGUCACCGCCGGUUAUGAGGUAACAUACUUGAGUAUUACUAAUAAGCAAGCUUUCACAUAAUGUAUAAAUAUGCGUGACAUGUCAUUUAUGCUUAGAUCUAAAAGAUAAAUAUAAACAAGAGAAACUAUAUCUUAUAUGUAAAUUAUUCCAUGCAAUGUUGAUAUUGAUAGUGGGCCUGUGGCUUUAACAUGCAAAAUGUUUACGGCAGCUUCUUCGUAAGAGAUGUCCGAGAAUUUAAUUAGAUUAAAUCGAAAUUAUGAUAUUUUCAUACCUAUAGCUUACCAAAGAAGUUUAAUUUUCAAUUUAUAAAGAUUUCUUGAAUAUGAUUUUAGAAUUAUUCAACAAGAUGAUAAGUAUUUAUUAAAUUUUGUGAAUCAUGAAAAAUAAUAAUUAAUUUUUAAUCAUUAUACUUCAUCUUUCAAUCUCUAAUCUAACAAAUAAGAUACAUAUUCUAUUAUUACUAUGUCCAAACUUCAUUUUGUUGUAUGACUAAAUAAUAUUCCCAUUAGAACUGUCAAAGCGAGUUGAUUCGUCCCGUUAAAUCCGUUUUGUGAUAGACAAAAAAUAUUUUGACUUGUAGUUAGUCGGUCAGCACGACCCGCGGAUAGCAUAUAUGAAAUACAAACCCGUCCCGCGAAUGUAUGCGGAUUUGCGGGAUUGUCCAUGGAUUUUGUUUAAAUAAUUUUAAAGUAACCAAAAUUUAAAAUACUACUAAAAUAAAUAAAUAAAUCAAAAUACUAUUAAAAGUUUGUUUAAAUUACCACAUGUUGAAUAAAUUAUAAUUUUAUCAAUAAAUACUAAUAUGCGGGCUGAUCCGCCAACCCGCGGAUGAAAACCGAUUAAACCUAUGACCCACUGCGAAUUAAUCCAUGUGGCCCGCUUAUUUGCGGGUUUAAUAUAUUUUCCCAAAUCUGCCCCAUAGUGAGAUGAUGUGGGCUCGACCCGCGGUUUUUGACCUAUUUUGACUGCUCUAAUUCCCAUGAAUCGUCUAAUUUUAGAAUUUUAAAACACAAAAUUCUAUUUUGUAAAUCAUAAUUAAUACGAUGGGUAUAUUUAUAAACAAUUUUACAUUUUCUCUACAAUUCGUUAUUAUGAAUAUUUAUAAGUAUACUACACGAUUCGUUCUACUAAAAAACACACACAAUAUUAAACGUAACGUAUGUAAACCAAUAUUCUUCCGCGGUGGACCGUGGGUCCGAUCCUAGUUUAAAAAAGAAAAGAAUUAAACUACUAUUUUAUGGUUUUGCUCCUUGUAAUUCCUAAACCUUCAUUUCAAUAAUAUUUAUAAACUCAACGAAAAAAAUAAAUAAUAAUAAUUAAACUACUCACACAAUAUAAGGAGGUGGUUGACAUUGUUAUGAAGUCAUUGAAAUUAAGGAGAUUUAGUUUUGACGUUUAAGAGAUACAUCUACACUCCUUGCACUCUCCAGGUUUGUAUAUGAUCAUUUGCAAGUUAUUCUUUUUCUUUUUUUUUGAUAAAAUUUGCAAGUUAUUCUAGAGUUAUAAAUAUACAGCAGUAAGUUAUUCUAGAUGUAUAUUAUUUGCAUGGAGGCUGUUAGUGUACAAAUAUGAUUAAUUUUGACUUGUUCAUCGGUCCUCCACUUCACUCGCCGCAAAUACCAAGUCUCAACCCCCCAACAUAUAUCCCCUGUCAAUUACCGAUAAAAAUAACUUCUAAAAACUGAAUUGAGCAAUCAAAUUUAGUAUAAUGUAGCCACAAAAUAAAAACUAAAUUAAGUACUCUUCUCAUAAUUAUCAAAUAAAGUAAAAAAACAUUGCCAUUCAGUAUCGAUUUCUGCAGUCUCCUAUAUAAUCAUCCCAACUUCUUCACAAUCUAUAUAACAAAGCAAACAUCCUCCAUCCGGUACAUAUCAAAAUCCAAACAAUGUCUUCAUCCUUUGUAACAAAACGACUCUUUUCGGUCCCUAUCUUGGCCAUGGUGGCCAUGCAACUCUCUUUUGUACAGUGUGUUUUGUCCCUAAACCAAACAAAUGAGUAUCUACACCACAUAUGCCUUAAUCGUCAAGGAACAUACAAGUCAGGUAGUAAAGACGAGAGAGAUCUUAACAAUCUCAUCCAAAUGAUUUCUAUCUCAAUUUUAGGCGACGUUGUCGUUUUUAGCGGUGAUAAUUCCAUCUACGUCAAGCUCCAGUGCCGGGGGGACUCCUCCACAUCCAAGUGCCGCUCUUGCCUUGAUACCGCCUUCUCUGGGGUAACGUCAUUUGAAUAUUGUUGAUUAGCUGUCACAUACUUACAUAUACAAAUGCGCGCACACACACAUGUACAUUAGUUUUUGGUUACACCUUUUCAUCCUGAUACUAUAUUGGGUGUGGUUUAGUUGUUGAUUUGCAUUUUAACAAUAGUACCAAACGAAACAAUACAUAUUAUAUAGUACCAAAGAAAACAAUAGUUCUUGAUAUGUAUAUAUGACAGGUUAGUAGAAGAUGUCCCAACAACAAAGAAUAAUAUGGUACGACAACUGUGUUCUCACAAUUUUAACGUUUCAUACGUAUGGCAAGAUCGAUUACCAGAACAAUUUCUAUAUUUCCAAUGCAAAGGAUGUGAGCGGUGAUACAAAUUCGUUCAACGAGAAGACGAGGGCUCUCCUCUAUAAGCUGAAGGAGAAAGCAAGUAGUAAAGAAAACAUCCCCAACAAGAAAAAUUACUUAUAUGCAACAGGGGAGGAAAGUCUCGGGAAGAUGAAAUUGUACGCAAUGGUGCAGUGUACACAAGACUUAUCAAUAAAAAAUUGUAGUGUGUGUUUGAACUGGAUUCUUGCGAAGUUUCCCAAAUGCUGCAACGGUAAACAAGGAGGAAGAUUUUUGAGUACAAGUUGUAAUUUUAGGUAUGAGCUUUACCCCUUUGUAAAACUUACGACUAGUUAAUAUGAGCUUCAUAUAUAUAUAUGCAUAUAUUUGUUGUGUUUGAAUAACUGUUUUCAGCGAAUAAUAAUUAAAUGUAAUUUACCCUUUGUGAUUUAUUUUGUAAAACACACCUUUUUAGUCUAUUUGCAAUAGAUGUUUAAUCAAAGAAUGAAUGACUAUGCGCAUUAUAAAAAAGGACCACUAACCACUAAGAAUGUAACAGUGGAUAAAAAUCGAUACAAGUUUUCUUCUUCUAUAUGGUAUGGAUAGAGAGUAAGAGAGCGAUAUUCAAAGGUUUUGAACUCUUUGAUCACGGUUCCUAUUUCUUCUAUACCAAACAUUGGUCCACCUCUUUGUCGGGCAGUCAGAUUCAAAUAUUCCCUACAUAAUCUCAAGAAAAUGGAAACCCUUCGUUUUUAGAGAAUGAUAUUCCUAAAGUUCAAGUCCCUGCCUCCGUACUCCCGAGAACAUCUGAGAAAGGGAAGGAUUACGACAUUUUUCGUUUUGGAACUCUACCUAGCUCCUGCUUCUUGAUCGGAUAAUCAAGGACCUCAAUCCCAUUUGGGGAAGAUACUCAGAGAAUGGUUUUUGUUCGUUUUCCAAAAGUUCAUGCCCAUGAACAUGUAUGAUUGAUAUCCCCUCUGCUUAUCAACUCGAAAUUGGACCGUUCAUAUCAGAUUUUAUAAAAUACAAAAGUAACUCUCGAAAUAAUAAAAAUAUAUUUUACUUUUGUAAUCAUUAAUAUUCUGCAAUAUAUUUUACUAUUGGUUGAAUAUUUUAGGUUGGGUUUUAAUUUCUGAUUUUAAUGUCGAAAACAACAAAAUUAUUACAAUUCAAACUUUCAAAGUAUUUCUUAAAUCUGGCACUUUUAUCUAAAAUAUCUAACUAAAACGUAGGGAGCAUAUUUUGAACUAACAUAUACUCUUUCUUUUACUAAUCUCCAUCACAAAAUUGAUUUGUAUUCAAAUCAGUUUAAUAGCAUAAGAGUAAAAAAAAAAAGCAAACUACAAUAUAUCCUCUAUAAAAAUUAAUACUCGAUAAAAUCUCCAAAUUAGUUUCUCAGAUGAAUUAAUAUAUCGAUAUAUUAACAAAAUAUCGUAUUGUAGUUGCAAUAUCUAUAGCUUUUACUGUAUUUUUUUUGUCAGCACGAUAAAGAAAAAAACCAAAAAAAAAAAACAUUGAAUAACGCACACAUUAAAUAUAGAAAAAUCAGACCCUUUCAUUAAUAAAAAAGAUUUGAAAGAUUCAUUAAUAAAAAGGAUUUGAAAGAUUUAAUUUCCAGGAUCCAUAUGUUUUCGUCCAUAAUUCAUGUCUUCCCGAAGGUCUUACUUGGCACCCCUUUUGUGUUUAUAUAUUUGUACCCCAAUGUCGACUUUCAUCAUUUCAUCCAACCAAAUAAAAUUGUGUUAUAAAUACUAAGGACUCUCUAAUGGGUGUUCUUAGCAUGAAGGGUGGAGAUGGAGAACACAGUUAUGCUAAUAAUUCUGAGGCGCAGGUAAGUACUUGUCUUAUCUAUAACAUAUGAACCAUAGUUAAGUUUUGGCAAAUAUAUAUUGCAUAUCAAUAUAUACUAGUUAAUGAUUUGAAUAAAUACUUUUCUAUAUAUAAUGAUGUCCCGUGCUACGUGAAUGAUUAAACUAAUUUGUAAGUGUUUCUAAGAAAAUGAGAAAAAAUCUUCAUUAAUUAAAGAAAACUGUAUCUUUUACCAUAAUUUAAUGGCAUAUCAUAUAAUUAAUUAUAUCUUUAAGGUUUUUUAUUUAUUUUUCUUUUUAUUCUUUCUUUUUAUGGCAUCAAAUGCGAGUAUCUUUUGUUGAUUCAAGCUUAUUCAUAAUAUAAUUUAAUUUCAGUUUUUAACUUCUUAGAAAAGUAUUACUUCUGAUGCAAAACCGGAGGUGGUGAAGAGCGUAAACGAAAUGAUAGUGAAAAUGGAUUUUCCUGGGUGCAUCAAAGUGGCCGACUUGGGAUGUUCUUCCGGAGAAAACACGUUCUUGGUUAUGUCUGAAAUCGUUAACACAAUCAUAACAACAUACCAACAAAAGGGUCAAAACCCACCCGAGAUCGAUUGUUGUCUGAACGAUCUUCCAGACAACGACUUCAACACAACUUUCAAGUUGAUCCCUUCCUUCCACGAGAAACUGAAGAUGAAUAUUAAAGGAAAGUGCUUUGUCUCAGGAUCUCCAGGCUCAUUCUACACAAGGCUUUUCCCAAGCAAGUCUCUUCAUUUUGUCCAUUCAUCUUUUUGUCUCCACUGGCUUUCUAAAGUUCCUGAUGGGCUUGAGGAAAAUAAGAAGAACGUGUAUCUUAGAAGUCCAUGCCCUCCAAGUUUGUACGAGAGUUAUUUGAAUCAGUUUAAGAAUGAUUUCUCAACGUUUCUAAGAAUGCGUGCGGAAGAGACAAUGCCUAGUGGACGCAUGGCUCUCACUUUAGUGGGCAGAAAAACUUUGGACCCUUUAUCUAAAGAUUGUUUCAAAGAUUGGUCGUUGGUAUCUGAUUCCCUCCUCGAUUUGGUGUCUGAGGUACUCACUAUAAUCAGACUUCUUAAUUUGUUUUGGUAACCAAAAAAUUCUGGACCUUAAUUCAUGAUUUCUUUUAGAUGAGAGUACGUUAAUUAAUCUCCUUCUAUAGUAAUAAUCUAUAUAAUAAGUUAGUAACUCUAAUUUGAAUAUUUUGUAAUGAUAACUAUUUGCCAGUUAUUAUGUACAAUUUUUAAGUCAAAAUUUAAUUUAAUUAAUGUUGUAAGAUAUUUAUGGACACAAAAUUUAUUUAAAUAUCAAGUUAGCUGUUUUUUUUUUAAAAUCAAAAAUAUUGGGUGAAUGCACACUUUCAUGAUGAGAUUAAAGCCCUGAUCGUAGUAGUUACAAUAAUAUUAUGGAGGAAUGUUUUGAGUGUGCAGGGAGUUGUGAAGGAAUCAGAUUUGGAAUCUUUCAAUUUGCCGUAUUACAAUCCUGAUGAAAGUGAGGUGAAGGAAGUUAUCGACAACGAGGGCUCAUUCGAGAUCAACAAUUUUGAGACAAUAUUUGGGCUUCUCUUUUCGUACAAAACUGGUCGUAGUGAAGUGAAAGAUGAUUGUGAUGAUGAUGUGGACCAUUCACGUCGAUUUGAAGUGGUUAAAAAGAGGGCUAACCUGGCAAGAUCCAUCAUUGAACCAAUGCUUGUUGCUCAUUUUGGAGACGCCAUUAUCGAUCGGCUGUUUGAGAAGUAUAUAUAUCAUGCAGGCCGACGUUAUGAUACCUUGCGCAACAAACCAACCGUUAAUUUCUUUGUUUCGUUAACUAGGAAGUGAAGGAUUGUCGGUCUACCAAUAAUUGAUGAAAAAUAAUGAUCCUUGGUGAGGAUUGGCCAACAAAGCCAAUUAAUAUGUUAUUUAUUGUGCUUUUAAUUUCCCUGUUAUGUAUUGUUGUGCUUUAAAUGUGUGUUUAAUAUAUGUCAGUAUCUAUCUCAAUAAAACAGCUACAUGCCUUAUUUUGUAAAUUCUCAGUUUUAGUACUCCCUUUGUAUCAAAUUGUUUUAGAUAUAUAAUAAGUUGUGUUUGAAUUUAGAAUUCUUUUUUUUUAAUGAUUUCUUAAUUUAUUUAUUGUAAAAACCUUGAAUAUCAUUUAAAAUAAAACAAAAUGAGUAAUAAAGUAAGCUAUUAACAUAAAAAAGUAUGUUAUGUAUUGUGAUGAUUGAAAUAGUUUGGCUUGGAUCUUGACAUUUCUGAAUGUCUAGUGUCCAUGCAUCGAUCCCUUUUGUUAAAUUAAAUUCAUAUAUUAUAUUAAGCAAAAAAAGAACAAGAGAGAAAUAGUAAAGUGUGGGUUUACUAUAUUUUGUUUUAAAUUGAUUUGUGUGUAGUUUUGUUUAUACAAUUCUAAAAUAUGUGCAUUCGUAAAUUUCAUAUCAUUCAAACAAAAAAAGCAAUAGUCUCUUUGAUCGUGUCUUCUAAGUCUUUUCAUGAUGUUUUAUGUUCCCUUAUAUCCUUAUAUAUUGCUUUGGGAUCAAACGAAAUAAAACAUAUCCCUGAAUUAUAAAUGUGAAAAAACUUUUAGGCGAGUUUAGGGAAUAGGACACCAGUUGCAACUACCCCAAGACCACAUGGAUCCAACAAAUUUAUUUACUGUAAAAAAAAAAAUUAUUGUCAAAAAUCAAUUGUAUAGUGUAAUAUGUCUGGUUCACUGUUGGUAAGAAGACUUGUUUUUUUUUCCUAAUAUCUUUUGUUGGGAUUACAAGAUUUUAGAUUUUUUGUCUUCUAAUUUCUUUUGUUGGGAUUUCAAAUUUUUAGAUUUUUGAGGUAUUUUUUCCUACACCCUAAACUCAAGCCUCCAUUUUCCACAAUUAGAUUGCUGCAAAAUUGGAGAAAUAGAUGAACAAAUUUUACCACAUGUAUAUAAGUGAUUGUGUUGGACUUAUCACAAAAUCAAUGGUUGUCCAAAGAGUCGACGGGUUGUAACCCCACGCAAAGUUUUGAUUAAAUCCACUACGCAAUCAAAAUUGACCCUCGACCUCUAGCUACACGAGUUGAAAGUUUCACAAUGUCUAACGAGCAUUGUAGACAAUUGAGAUUAAAAAAAACAAUCUAAAUGCUCGUUGCUCAUUUCGGAAAUGAAAUUAUCGAAUCAGAGAUCAACAAUUAUGCACACUAUAUGGCCACAUAUCUGUGUUAUAAACCAUCAUCCUAAUAUGACACAUCAUCGUUGUAUAGUUGAUUAGGAAAUAAAGGUCAUCGAUCGUAAUGAGUCUGAAUAAUAAUGGCAGUUUUAAUGAGUCUGAAUCACAAACUGUUAAUAAAGUUACCUAAUACUCCCUCCGUUUCGUUUUAGUUGUCGUUUAAAGUUUUUUCACACAAAUUAAGAAAAACAUUAAAUUUUCUGUUUUAUCCUUUAUUAAUAUAAUUUAUAAAAAAAUUUAUUGGCCAAAACAUUAAAACAAUAGAGAUAAAACUAGAAUUUUCACCAAACAUUUGCAUUGAAAACCUAAAACGACAACUAUUAUGAAACAAAAUUUAAAUCCUAAAACGACAACUAAACUGAAACGGAUGGAGUAUAUAAUAAGUGACACUAACUAUGCAAUUAUAUAUCAACCCUAACAAUUGAUUUACUGUCUAUUAUUAAUUUUAGGUUAGAAAGAGUAUGAAUAGUGUGGUUUUAAGCUUUUCAACUUUGACUUUUUCUUUGUCCCCUGCUCCCCCCUCGCCGCAAAUACCAAGUCUCAACACCAAACUCCUGUCCUGUCAAACCAAUUAUCCAAAAAAAAAAAAAAAACACCUCUCCUAUGUGUGUUACAAACUAAAAACAUUUCUUUUAGACACUGAUAUCAUCACUCGAAUUUCGUAUACAAGAAAAUUAAGAGUGCUACAAUUUUAAUAAUUAUCGAAUAAAAAACAAAAUCCACUCCGUAUCCAAAAUCGCUCGAGUCUCCUAUAUAAACAUUCCAACUCCCAUGAUUGAUCUAAUAAAGGAAAACCGGUAGAGCAAGUCAAGGAGACGACUCAAACGGUGGUGAGGGACGAGUCGGGUGAAUCACCGGUGGUGAAUGAUGGGUUCACGGUUGUCCGGCGAGCAGGGAGGAAGUCGGGGCAGAGGGAGAAUCGAGUGGGCCCCGGGAACAGAAAUUCAGGAUCAGACUUGGAAAGAAAUCUCCAAGAGAUCUCAACGAAUGUCGUGACUGCUAACAGAUUUGGGAAUCUGGAAGAGGAGAUCACAGAGGUUGGGAUAAGGGAAGUUGCGAAAUCUCAGGGUGCGAAUAAGGUAAAGGAGAAUGUCCCGAUUCAAUUUGGAAAAGGGAAGAAUGUCGCGCCAAGUAAGGAAGGAGUGAAUGCUGUGUCUGAAAAGGAAGGAGGUUUUGUGGAAAAGGCUGGGCGCGGGAAAGGAAAUGUGGGUUUGAAAGGUAGGCCCAAAGGGAAGUGGGCUGGUGGAAUUAAACAUGUUGGUAUUAAUGGGCCUAAACUUAAUAUCCAACAAAACAGACCAGCUCGUGGGCUGGUAUUUGGCCUAGUAACAGAAGAGUAUGAGCGAUGUGUGUCGGGGAAGAGAUUGCGAAUGGACAAGAGUGGUGUUGGGAGACCAGGGGGAAAUUUUUCGAAUGGAGCUACGACUUCAAUGGAGCUGGUACAUUCGCUACAGAGCCAGAACGAGUCGACUGUGGCAGCUCAUAAUGAAUUGACGGAUCAAUCGUUGAGUACGGAGGUUGUUAUGCACUCGCCGUUUCCGGAGAAGGAGGCGGAGCUGCGUGAAGCAUAACAAUUUGCCCCGGUAGUUCGGUGUCUAUUAAUUCUCAAGUUAAUGAUGGAUUGCAUGCUAUGGAAUUGCCGGGGGGCGAAUAAACCCAAUUUUCGAAGAGCGAUUCGCUAUAUGUUGAAGAAGUUUAUGACUGACAUACUUGCGUUGUUUGAAACUCAUGCUAGUGGAGACAGAGCACGGCGGAUUUGUCAGGGACUAGGGUUCGAAAAUGUCUUCAGAGUGGAGGCUGUGGGUCAGAGUGGUGGUAUAUGGCUAGUAUGGAGAUCGGGUAUCGGUGAUGUUGAAGUUGUUGAGUCAUCGGAUCAGUUUGUUUUUGCGAAAAUAAAGAACGGAGAGGAGGAACUGAAUCUUAUCGUGGUUUACGCAGCUCCGUCGGUGAGUAGGAGGAGUGGACUCUGGGAUAAGUUAAGAGAGGUGAUCCAGGGUAUAAACGGCCCCAUAAUAAUUGGCGGGGACUUUAAUACGAUUGUGCGAGUUGAUGAAAGGUCUGGUGGGAACGGUAGAUUGUCUCCGGACUCUUUGGCUUUUGGGGAAUGGAUAAACAGUGUAUCCUUGAUAGACAUGGGUUUUCGAGGGAACAAGUUUACUUGGAAACGAGGAAGAGGUGAAGAUACCUUUGUAGCAAAGCGGCUGGAUAGGGUUAUGUGUUGUGCUCACUCUCGGUUGAAGUGGCAAGAGGCCAGCGUAACACAUUUACCAAUUCUCGCCUCAGACCAUGCGCCUUUGUACGUCCAACUGUGUCCCGACGUCAUACGAGAUGCGAGUAGACGACCAUUCAGGUUUGAGGCGGCAUGGUUACAACACCCGAGUUUUAAAGACUUGUUGACGGCAUCGUGGAUGAUAAUUUGAGAACUCCAGAAGCCUUAGAUGAGCUGCGAGUUAAAUUAAAAAGGUGGAACUGGGAUGUCUUUGGUGAUGUUAAGAAGAAGAAGGAGUCUUUGAUGGAGGAGAUAAAAUCGGUUCAAGAUGCGUUGGAAAUAGCUCAAUCGGAUGACUUGUUACGCAAGGAAGACGAUUUAAUUAAGGCUUUUGAUGAGGUGUUGGAACAAGAGGAAACCAUAUGGUACCAGAAAUCAAGAGAGAAGUGGAUCGCUCUUGGUGAUCGUAAUACAAAAUAUUUCCAUACAACAACAAUAAUUCGGAGGCGGCAGAAUCGGAUUGAAAUGUUGAAGAAUGGAGAUGAUAUUUGGGUUACGAAUGCUCGAGAACUUGAGGAAAUGGCGGUGGAGUACUAUCAGCGGCUGUAUUCUCUAGUUGAUGUUCCGGAAGUAUUAAAUGGGCUGCCUAUGGAUGGUUUUCCGAGGCUUACACAAGCGGAGACUCAAUGUUUGAGUAAGCCAUUCUCGGGUGUGGAAAACCAUCCGGAGUAUGGGUAGAUUUAAAGCUCCAGGUCCGGAUGGAUACCAACCAUUAUUUUACCAUGACUGCUGGGAUACGGUGGGGGAAUCAGUGGUGAAGUUUGUGUUGGAGUUUUUUGAGACGGGAGUUUUACCGGAAAACACAAAUGAUGCUCUUGUUGUUCUUAUCGCCAAGGUGGCUAAACCGGAGAGAAUUACUCAAUUCAGGCCAAUAAGUCUUU